RNAcentral lists this long non-coding RNA (53316 nucleotides) under Coffea arabica (coffee). RNAcentral describes it as "long non-coding RNA (CARA_LNC002498)". The record is from RNAcentral. Lineage: Eukaryota; Viridiplantae; Streptophyta; Magnoliopsida; Gentianales; Rubiaceae.
UCUCCUGGAGUAGCAUCAAAGAAUAGCAGAGUACCUAAAUAUGGACAAAAUAGCUUUGACUUUAUAAAAUCUUCUCCACUAGAGCAAAUGGACAACCGAGGUAGGUUGGGAGGCUCAUUAAAGGUAGAGAGCUCAUCAUAUCCUCGCAGGACCUGAAGAAAUUUCUUUUCUUUAGCCUCGCCCUUACAGAACUCAAAAAUCAAAUCGUGAAUGUAACAAGUUUUGACUCCACCAAUGGAUCUGCUUUUACUUACCAUAACUAAGUUUCGACCAAUUAGGUCCAUCAGAUAUUCUUCUGCAAUGACCUCCGAUCUUUUUCCUUCAAUUUUUUCCACAAACCCUUCUGCAAUCCAUAGACGCAUCAAAUUCUUGGCACCAAUUUUUUCAUCUUCUCGAAAUGCAGCAAAAUACAGCAAGCAUGCCUUCAAGUGAUACGGUAAAUGCUCAUAACUGAGCUCCAAUGACUUCUUGCACUGGUCUGUACCAGACACCAUGGUUGAAGUUAAACUUUCAGCAAAUUCUUCCCAAACCAAACUAUCAUGCCCUAUAGUUGCCAGAACUCCAGCAACAACAACAACUACUAGUGGCAAUCCCCUGCACUUCUUGGCAAUCUUCGUAGCAAUUCCACACAAUGCUUGAGGACAAUCUUCUUUUCUAAAUACCUUCUUCAGCAGUAAUUCAAAACUUUCUUUCUCACUGAGUGGACGAAGAUUGUGAGGUUUCCCCCCAUAUUCAACCUGUGAAGCCACAUAAGAAGAUCGACUCGUGAAGAUGAUUCUACUUCCUUUCUUUUCAUCGGGGAAUGAAAUUCUCAGCUCAUUCCAUACCUUAAUGUCCCAGACAUCAUCAAAAACAACAAGAUACCUCUUCGUCUUCAGCCUUUGAUAGAGCUUGUGAAGCAAUUCAUGUUCAUUCAAGUUUUUAAGCUCUUUGUCCAUCCUUGACCGUUUUCCAUCAGAACACAAAAUUUGUAUUAACAAGCUUUUCAUGUUAAAUUCUUGAGAAACAGUGCACCAAAGACGAAUGUGGAAGUUACAGAUUACUGAACUGUCAUUGUAAACUUUUUUGGCUAAAGUUGUCUUACCAAGCCCAGCCAUUCCCACAAUAGGAACAAUUUCCACCUGUUCUGGUCCCCAUAUAAGUCGUUCAAUUACUUUUGCUGCCUCGUCAUCGAGACCAACCAUGACUUCGUGGGCUAUUGGCAUUUUACCUUUUGAUAGAAUGUGGCUGGAAGUCUUGCUAACUUCUGGUGCUCUUAAGCUGUGAAAGGAAGGAAGACUUUCAAUAAUGCUUGAGCCACUGAUCUGAUCCUUAAAAUGCUUGAUAUGGAUGUUGGUAUUAGCCAGCAUAUCAUAACAGUCAAGGGCCUCUGUUCUUUCUGAGAAGCUAACUUCUCCUUCCUUCACUCUGUUUAGAGAAGGCAAGCAAAUUAUAAUGCCUGCCUCACAAAGAAGAGCACCAAUUUUUUCGUUCUGUUCAUCCAUCUUCUCCUGCUGCUCCCUUAAAAUGCUUCUCAAGAACCUCAGUCCUGCAUAGAGUAUUCGCAUUUCAUCUUUCAAAGAAUCCAUAAAGCUAGAGCUGCAGCAUAACAGCUGCCAGAGACAACUUAUGAGAGAAUCAUUGAAGUUUUUCAAUAUCUGCUUAUCCAUCAUUCUAUUAUGCAAUGAUUUUGAGGAUCUUGUAGCUCUAAGAACUUCCAUAUAAAUCUCAUAGACUUGAAAAUCAAUAGGUGUGAUUUUCUGUUGUUGCUCAUAUAUCAUGGAGCAGAACUCAGGAUUGUGCCGCUCCUUACCAUCCCAAACAGAGCACAUGUAAAAGAGGUGUGCUGCGUUCAAAGUCACCACUUCAAAGUGAGCCAAUAGCAAGGCAGGAAUAUCUGCAGUUCCUCGCAAUUUGGCAAAGGGAAUGAAGUUUUUCAAGAAUGUUAGCUUUGCUUCAAGGGCUUGGAAUUGAGCACUAACUUGGGGAUCCAUAUCAUCAAUAAUACCCAAAUAGACAGUUGUUAAAUCCGCUAGAUUUUCUAGAAUGAGGUCUAUAAAUUCGAUUAGUUCAUCAACUGGCAUGCAAGAAUUUGAUUCCAAUGAUCUGCUGCUUGGCAAAGUAAAGUAAACUUGGAUGAUUUCUUGCUUAAAUGAUUUGAUCUGUUUCAAAAACUCAGAAAACACUUCAUAGGGAACACGACCUAGGCCACUGCCAUCAAAUGCUGAUAUAUCAUGGCAAAACGAGUACUGAAAGUCCUCCUCAUAUUUGUGAACGUUAUCUUCAAUGCAAGAUAAGAAAGAUGGAAGACUCACCUUCUUCACAACAUUCUCAGAUUCCAAGUACAAAUCAUUGCUGUGGCUCCACUUUCUUGCACACAUAACAAAUGUUUUGUGAAAUCUUAUAUCCAGGAACGCAGCUCCAAAAUUGCAUUCUUCAAACGCAUUGUACCCGAAACGGAGCAUGGAUUUUUCCUCAGUUUCACUCUCAAAUUUUAAGGGAGAAACAGAUCUCGCCGACUGCAGAGCAAGCAAGUAUUUCUUUCCUGAAAUUUCUUUUUUCCCGUGGGAAGGUGAAGAAGAGAAAUGAGAUAAUAAAUUAUUCAACAGACAAACGGAGCAAGAUCAGGAAAGAACAGAUGAAUCAAAGUUAACGAGAGAGCGGUCAAAUAAUCUGGAAAUGAUCUUGGUCUGAAUAAAGUUAAGAAAUUUUAUUGACUACUACUGCAUAAUUUUUUGGAGUUUUUUUUUUUUAAUACCCGUUUCGUUGUUGAGAAGGACCGGUCUGGCAUUGCACCCCACACUGGCUUUUCGUUCUGAAAGAAAUUUUUUUUUAUUGGUUUUUGGACUAUUAAUGUGGCAUUGCACCCCACAUUUAGACUAUUUAUGCCGUCAAUUAUGACGGCUAAUCCUUAGACUGUUUAAGAAGCAUUUUUGCUAACUAAACCCACACUAGUUGCUCAUCCCUUCCAUCACACCCCAAUACACACACACACACACACAUGUAUAUAUAUAUAUAUAUAUAUAUAUAUAUAUGUAUGUAUGUACAUAGGUAGUGUCAAAAUGACACACAUUGUCCUCCGUGGUGGAAUUAGCUAAUCUUUGUGGUUACUAAAUAUUUUAUCUGGACAUUAAGGUAUUCUUGACAUUUCGUUUGGCUUCAUUGUCGUGGGCUGUUUUUGUUAUUUUGAUAUUUCAGUCCAAAAUAUGGAAAAACUUAUUUAUAAUAUUUAAAAUUAUAGAAGAUUUACCUGAAAAGUGCUGAAGCUAAAUAAAUUUAACCAAGAUUUGUGCCUUUCAUUAGGUAAGACUUUCUUACAUGUUGGCCUGGUUACCAUAGUCCAAGAGAGAAAAAGAAAAGAAAGGGGCCAAAAAGGAAAAAGGAACUUUAACUUUCAAUUGAUAGUUUCUUUCAAAAUUCAAGUAGUGUUGCUUAAUAAGUUUUACAUCCUAUGAUUGCAAACAACAUAAUUUUACGAAAUAACAAUUUUUUUUAUCUGUAAUUGCUAAGAAAAUUGUAAAAUGACUUUAUUAGAUAAUUUUAUCGGCUCAAUGGAUUCUCUAAGUUGAAUGAAAAUAAUUACAUCUUAACAAAGUCCGCAAACCUUGAUAUAUGAACAAGCAAAACUAUAAAAUACAAGUCAAUUAACCGCAAAAAUCCUUAGUAAACUCCAUUUUUUCACCCUCCCUCCUUGUAAGAUUGCUUGAUAAGCAAUCAAUUUCACUUUACACCCUUUUGAAUGAUUUCCACUUUGCAUCUCAAAUUUUUAUUUCUGGAUAGUUUGCACUUUAAAAUUACUAAUUACCAUGAAAUUGCACCUUAAAAUUUAUUUUGGAUAUUUUGCACCUAAAGUUAAUAAUCCAUCCAAAAUUACUGUGGUUUCACACAAUAUUAAUGUCAUUGUAGGAGCAAUAUGCACCUAUACACUGGCUUCUUAACUGUAAAAGUGGGAUUGGUUCAUCAGAAUGUCCCUCAAAAAAAAAAUUAAUAAAAGAGUGAAUACAUAUGCGUGUUAGAGCACUUUCACUUGCAAGAAGUUUGAUGACUUUAGGAUUUGAGACAGUUUAAUGAUCUGGAAUUAGCACCCACCAAGAAUGGUUUGGACUGAUCAGCCUCCUUCCUAUUAUAUUCAUCAGCAAACAAACGAAUAAAUUAUAGUGUAACCCCAUACAAUUUAGUGCAUUUUCGUAUAAUCAUAGUGUGGUAAAAUGUAUAUGACUCCACGAUUUGAAGCACAUUGUCAAAAUGACGGAUAUCGUCCUCUGCGUUGGAAUUAGUUAAAAUGUCAAAAUUAUUUAUAUUAAAACCCUAAAAUGAUUUUAUUAACUAACGUUGAAACUCUAAGAUUUAGAAGUCUUGGAAUCUAAUUCUCCUUCCUCCUCUCCGCUUUUGAAAAAGAAAUCCUAUUUCUUCCUUGUUAAAAAAAUGUUAAUAUAUAUAUAUAUAUAUAAGAUAAAUUACACUUUUGUACCUUGAAAAGUUAUUCAUAACCAUCAGGCCACUUUACCAUCCUCUGCGUUAGAUCUCCAUCAAUAUAUAUAUAUAAGAUAAAUUACACUUUUGUACCUUGAAAAGUUAUUCAUAACCAUCAGGCCACUUUACCAUCCUCUGCGUUAGAUCUCCAUCAAUUCUAAUAUUAAUUUUCUUGACUAACUUUAUGUCACAUGAAUUUAAUCAAAAGUCGAUCUACUAAAGGGCCAGAUAGAAGGAUGUUGGCAGCAUCAGAAGUCUUCAACUGAUCCAACAGGCCUAUUUCUGCUGGAAUUUGACCUGUUAAUUGGUUGUUGUUAAGUAGUAGGGUAUUUAGAAAUGUACAAUUUAAAAGUUUACAGGAAUCUCACCUUUUAUAGAAACAGAUCUCACCGACUGCAGAGCAAGCAAGUAUUUAGUAUUUCUUUUGGAGUUUUUGACAAGUGAUAGGUUGCAAUUUAUCUAUUUAUUUUAUUAUUAAUUUCCUCUGUUACCUGACCCGAUGUGGAUUAAUUAUUAGAUUCUACUCAUUUUUCGUAAUUUGCAUUUAUUUCAGGGAGUAGAACGAAAAUAUAACAACGGGUGCCAAUUUGACAGAAAAGAAAUCCAGAUGAUAGAGCUUGUCCCAGGGGCAUUUUUGGAAAAGAAGAUGUCACGCCCACUUUGAUAAUUUCCGCAAAGAAAUGACGGAUGAAGGGCUUCUUCCUCCUGGUUAGGGAUGGCAACGGGGCGGGGUUGGGGCGGGGGACGAGAGACCUAUUAGUUCCCCCCGUCCCCCGCCUCCCACUCCCCCUGCCCCGCCCCGCCCCCGCCCCGCCUUGCCCCGCUUCCCCCGCGGGGGCACCCGCGUUAAUAAAAUUUUAUUAUAUAAUUUUAUUAUAAUUAAAUUUUAAUAAAUAAUCAAGUACUAAAAUAUCAACACAUCACCAAAUUAUUAUUCAUUGUAAUUUUACAAUUGAAACUCAUAAAAACAAUCAAACAGAAGUUAUUUGAAUACAAUCCAAUAUGAUGAAAUAAAUAUAACUAAAAUAGUCAAAUUUUCACUUUUAGUACAAAUGCAAUCACUAAUUCAUUAUUGUGUUUGUGCUUUUUUUUGAGAAAAAAGUGUUAUUCUAUAAAGUGUAAUUAGAAAUUUAGUAUAAAUGUAUUAGUAAAUUUAGUAUAACUAAUUAAUAAAUUCUAUUAGUAGACAUGUAUAAUUAUUCAUAUAAUUGAUAAUAUCAAUUAUAUUACAUAAAUUAAUAUACAUUAUAUAAUACAUCUAACUAAUAAUAUAAUUAUCAUAAGUUUAUAACUAAUUAACUUACAUAUAAUAUAUAGUCAUUUAUAUAUAUAUAUAUAUAUAUAUUUUUUUUUUUGCGGGUGGCGGGGCGGGGGAUGGGGCGGGGGAGUAUACCCCCGCCUCCCGCCCCGUUUCUAAGCGGGGGGAAAAAUUUCCCCCCGCCCCCGCCCCACCCCCCGCCCCAACCCCCGCCCCGUGAGCCCCCCGCGGGCACCCGCCCCCAUUGCCAUCUCUACUCCUGGUGAGCCGCCGCAAUAAAGGAGGAAAAACAGGAUCAGAUGGAGGCGAGCUUAGUUUUAGUUUUCCGUCUGUAGCUUAGCUUGAGAUUGUUGACUUUUCCCUAAAAAUGUUUUUUGCUUGUCAUACGCAUGGCAGGCAUUAGAAAUUGGUAGCUUUUGACUUUUCUUCAUGUUAAAUGCUUAGAGUUUUUCUAUCUUUCCUGGUAUGCCGUCCGUAGUGAGGCAGAGGAUCAUUUCGUGUAACUUUGCUAUCUCCUCCUGGUUGGAGCGGAUUGAGUUCUAAAAAAUCAAUGACAAUGGCCGCAGAUUUAUCUUCAAUUUCCCGUGGACUUAGUUCAUCAAAUAUGAACUAAUUUCCUUCCUACUAGUCAAGGAGCAACGAAGGCUUUGGUUCGCUUAAAAAUUAUGAGAUCGAUUUAAUUCAAUCUUUUCUUUUUAUUUAUUGGUAUCCGCAUAUUUCUUGAUUUCUAUGCUCAUGGUUAUUUAAUUAAUUGAUUGUUUUGGAUCCGGAUAACUAAUUGAUUUGGUAACCUAUCGUCAAUUAGGGCAUUAAAUCCGUAAUUGUUUAAUUGUCCUGAAAUAGUGAUAACUGGCACGAUUAGAUUCGUGUCAGGGGGAUACGCGGGCUAAUCUGAAAUAACUCUGGUAGUGCGUUAUUUGGUUAGAAUAGGGUUCCUCUAAUACGUAAGGCAAUUGGGGAAUUAAAUCUUACGGGCGUACCUAGGAUUAUUUCCUAAUUAGAGCAGUGAUUAACGGGCGUACCUUAAUCACCGACACAGUAAGGAGGAGUUGACUGUCAUCCCCUGGUUGGCAGUUAUAACCUAUUUAUUGAUAAAUAAUCGGAAUUGCCUUUAUUUCAAUGAUCAAUUAGGUGAACCAUUGCUGAAGUUACUUUUUUGCUAGAUCUUUAGUUAAUAUUACCUUGAUUUUAGUGAAGUGCCAUUUGACUUUUAGUUGCCUACUUUAUUUUAUUUUUAAUUGUUUCCUUGUUUUAAUUGAUUUAGGCCUUUAAUUAUUGUUAUUCUAAAUUCAGUGAAUUGUGGUUUAAUUUCUAGUUAGUUAUUUAUUUUUAUUUUCUUAUUUGAAUUUAUUUGAUUGCUGUCGUUCCUACAAAAUCACCCCCUGUGUUACUUUGAAUUUCUUAAGAAACAAAUAUAUCCAGUCCCUGAGGAUACGACCCUACUUGCCCUGUCUACAAAUUCAUAAUUAUUUGUGAAAGAAAUAACCAUCCCAUUCGGGUAUAUCGGAUUAAGCAAACUCUUCGGGAACAAGGUGAAUCAAGUAACCCAUUGCACACCUAGAGUCCCUGCUCCAGUACUUGGAAUUGGGUCUUGGUCAUUUUAACUGGCAAUUAGGUUUAAUUUUAUUAUUGUGCAGGCUUCGACACCCUGUCAAUUUUUGGCGCCGUUGCCGGGGACUGGUGUUAUUAUUUGUUCCUUUUUAAAUUCAUUCUUUUUUUUUUCCUUUUGCUCUAAUUUUCUGGUAUUUUUCUAGUGCAUACCUUGAUCUUCUCGUACAGGUGAUUUGGUUUUUGACCCUGAGGUAGAGAAGACUGCACGUAGAAUAAGAAAAGAGACCAAACAGCUCAGAGAGGAGCACUCCUGUGCUACAUCUCGGAGACCUGAGUCAGAAACUGAACCAACAGAUUCAUUUGGUGACACUUCGAGUGACUCGGAGCAAGAAGAAAUCCCCAUGGCUAAUGCACGAACAUUAAGGGAGUUGGCUGCUCCUGAUUUAAAUCAGCAGCCUUUAUGCAUUACUUUCCCAAGUUUGAGUGAAAACACUUCAUUUGAAUUGAAAUCAGGUCUAAUUCACCUUUUACCCUCUUUUCAUGGUUUACCAGGUGAAGAGCCGUAUAAGCAUCUGCAAGAGUUUGAUGUCGUAUGCAAUAGUAUGAAACCCCCGGGAAUUACAUAAGAGCAGAUAAAAAUGAGGGCAUUCCCCUUUUCCUUGAAGGAUUCUGCAAAGGACUGGCUGUACUACCUGCCACCAGGUAGCAUCACCACGUGGGACCAAUUGAAGAAAAAAUUUUUAGAUAAAUAUUUCCCUGCGUCUAUAGCUGCAAACCUAAGGAAAGAAAUUUGCAGGAUCAAGUAGCAUCCAGGGGAGUCACUCUAUGAGUAUUGGGAACGGUUCAAGAACUUGUUGCACAAGUAUCCCCAGCACCAGAUAAGUGAGCAGUUGCUCAUUCAGUAUUUUUAUGAGGGGCUCCUUUUCAGAGAUAGGAGCAUAAUUGAUACUGCAAGUGGAGGGGCACUGGUGAACAAAACCCCUCGGGAAGCAAGGGAGCUAAUAGAAGGGAUGACAGAGAAUUCAUAACAGUUCGGUACGAGGGAGGAUGUCCCAGUACGCAAGGUGAAUGAGGUUGAGACAUCCUCUAUCCAGCAGCAGCUAACUGAGUUGACCUCGUUUGUUAGGCAACUGGCUGUGGGAAAUGCAUCACAAGCCAGGGUAUGUGGGAUUUGCACUGGUAUGGGACACUCUGCAGAGAUGUGCCCAAUGAUUCAGGAAGAAACUGCACAACAGGUGAACAUGACUGGUCACGCGCCCACGCCAAGAAGGGCCUAUGACCCGUACUCGAAUACGUACAAUCCCGGCUGGAAGGACCACCCAAAUCUCAGUUAUGGAAGAAAUAGGCAGCCCAACUAUGCACCGAACAGGCAGUCUAAUUUCGUGUCAAAUAAUCAACCAGGGUACCAGCAGCAAUAUCAACCCCGACCACCUCCGCCCCCGAGCUCUGGUCCAUCUUUGGAGGAGAUGAUGAAACAAAUGAUGGCAACCAUGACGCAAAAUCAGCAAAGGACGGAGGCAACCAUGACGCAAAAUCAGCAAAGGACGGAGGCAACCAUUAUGCAAAAUUAGCAAAGGACGGACUCUAAAAUGCAGGACAUAAGGAAUCAGAUAAGUCAAAUGGCUACAACAAUCAACCGUUUGGAUUCCCAGAACCAAGGUAAAUUGCCAUCUCAGCCUGAAUUAAAUCCGAAGAACGUGAGCGCAAUGACCCUAAGGAGCGGGAAGGAAAUUCAGGGGCCUGAAUCUGUGAUCUCUAAGGACAAGGAUGAGAAAAAGAUUGAAAAUGAGCUUGAGAGGGAGGACAGCAAUGGUGCAGAUCCAAAGGUACUUCCAAACCCAAUAAUUACAGUUAAAACUAACCUACCUCCUUUUCCUAGCAGGUUGGAAAAAUCGAAAAAACAGGAUAAGAAGAAGGAGAUUUUGGAGGUAUUUCGCAAGGUGGAGAUAAAUAUCCCCCUCUUAGACGCCAUCAAACAAGUACCAAAAUAUGCCAAGUUCUUAAGGGACUUGUGUGUCAACCGAAGGCGAUUCAGGAGAGAUGAAAGGAUCAUUGUUGGGGAGAAUGUGUCAGCGGUCCUGCAGAGGAAGCUUCCACCCAAGUGCGGGGACCCAAGUAUGUUUACUAUUCCCUGUAGAAUAGGCAACACUGUGAUUAGAAGGGCCAUGUUGGAUCUAGAAGCAUCAAUUAAUGUCAUGCCUAAAUCUAUCUAUGCUUCUCUAAAACUAGAUCCAUUAAAAGAAACUGGAAUAAUCAUUCAAUUGGCUGACCGAACUAAUGCAUACCCUGAUGGGUUGGUUGAAGAUGUGUUGGUAAAAGUUAAUGAUUUGGUGUUUCCAAUUGAUUUUUAUGUACUUGAUAUGGAUGAUGAUCACUCCCCUGAUCCCUCACCUUUGUUAUUGGGUAGACCCUUUAUGAGCACAGCACAAACAAAAAUUGAUGUUAAUAAGGGUAUCUUGUCCAUGGAAUUUGAUGGAGAAAUUGUGCAUUUCAAUAUUUUUGAUACUAUGAAAUAUCCCUCGAACUCCAAUUUUAGCUCUGUUUUUUCUGUGAGUGUUAUUGACCAUGCGGUGCAGGAAAUGUUUGAAACUGUUGGCAGGGAUGAAUUGAAAGUUGUUUUAACGAAGCAUCUCGAGUUGGAGACAACUCCUGAGGUGGAGUGGAGUGAAUAUUUAAAAUGCACGAUAGGAGCACUACACUCAUUGCCAACCUCCACAAAAAGGUACGACGUUUCACAUAUAUUCAUUCCCGAACCUCACCAGAGGGUAUUGCCAUCGGUGGUGCAGGCGCCUGUUUUGGAGUUGAAAUCCUUACCAGAGCACCUGAAGUAUGCAUAUUUGGGUGACAAUGAGACACUCCCGGUGAUUAUCUCAUCGGCACUGUCAAAAACCCAGGAGAAAAAACUGAUCCGGGUCCUUAGAGAGCAUAAAGAGGCGAUAGGUUGGACAAUCGCAGACAUUAAGGGGAUCAGCCCGGCCAUCUGUAUGCACCGGAUUAGACUGGAAGAGGAUGCUAAACUUGUUCGGCAGGCUCAAAGGAGGCUCAACCCCCUCAUGAUGGAAGUUGUAAAAAAGGAGAUUUUGAAAUUGUUAGAUGUGGGGAUUAUUUUUGCAAUAUCAGAUAGCCCUUGGGUGAGUCCGGUCCAGGUAGUCCCAAAGAAGGCAGGAGUGACGGUGGAAUCUAACCAAACAGGUGAACUCGUGCCAGUGCGCAAACCCACUGGAUGGAGGCAGUGUAUUGACUACCGUAGGCUGAACGCUGUCACAAAAAAGGACCAUUUCCCUCUUCCUUUCAUUGACCAAAUGGUUGAACGUUUGGCUUGUAGAGCUUACUAUUGCUUUUUGGAUGGAUUUUCAGGAUACUUUCAGAUAGCAAUUGCCCCAGAGGAUCAAGAGAAGACAACUUUCACGUGUCCGUUCGGGACUUUUGCCUAUAAACGAAUGUCAUUUGGGUUAUGCAAUGCACCUGCAACUUUCCAAAGAUGUAUGGUAAGCAUCUUUUCUGAGUAUGUUGAGAAAAUAAUUGAGGUUUUCAUGGAUGAUUUCAGUGUGUAUGGUGAUAGUUUUGAUACGUAUUUAGAUAACCUGAAAUUGAUCCUGAUAAGGUGUAUAGAGACUAAUCUCGUGCUUAAUUGGAAAAAAUGUCAUUUUAUGGUUGAGUACGGGAUAGUUCUGGGUCAUAUUGUAUCGUUUAAGGGCAUUGAAGUUGACAAGGCUAAAAUAGACAUUAUAUCGGCAUUACCUUACCCCGCAAAUGUGCGGGAGGUGCGUUCUUUUCUUGGACAUGCAGGUUUUUACCGAAGGUUCAUCAAGAAUUUUUAAAAAAUUGGAGCCCCAUUGUUCCAACUCUUACAAAAAGAUGUGACCUUUGAGUUCGAUGACAAGUGUGAAAAUGCCUUUAACAAGUUGAAAGAGUUACUGACCUCAUCCCCGAUCAUCCAACCCCCCGAUUGGGGUUUGCCAUUUGAGAUCAUGUGCGAUGCCAGUGAUCAUGCUGUAGGGGCUGUAUUGGGGCAGCGAGUAGGAAAGGCAACUCACAUCAUCUAUUAUGCAUCCCGCGCCCUGAAUGGGGCCCAGUUGAAUUACUCCACCACUGAGAAGGAGUUUCUUGCAGUUAUUUUUGCUUUAGAAAAAUUCAAGUCAUAUUUGUUAGGUACUAAAGUGAUUGUAUUUUUUGAUCAUGCAGCAUUGAGGUACCUGAUGACUAAGAAUCACAUCAUCUAUUAUGCAUCCCGCGCCCUGAAUGGGGCCCAGUUGAAUUACUCCACCACUGAGAAGGAGUUUCUUGCAGUUAUUUUUGCUUUAGAAAAAUUCAAGUCAUAUUUGUUAGGUACUAAAGUGAUUGUAUUUUUUGAUCAUGCAGCAUUGAGGUACCUGAUGACUAAGAAAGAUGCAAAAUCGAGGCUCAUACGGUGGAUAUUGCUCAUACAGAAAUUUGACCUGGAGAUAAGGGAUAAAAGAGGCUCAGAGAAUUUAGUAGCCGACCAUUUGAGUCGUAUAUCCGUUGGGGAGGAUAAUGAACCAUUGAAGGAUGCAUUCCCUGAGGAGCAUUUAUUUUCUUUAAAUUCUCAAAUGCCUUGGUAUGCCGAUCUGGUCAAUUAUUUGGUAACUGGUAAUUUUCCUGCAAGUUGGCCAAAAUCGAAGAGAGAUAAAAUGAAAAGCGACGCCAAAUAUUUUAUUUGGGAUGACCCGUACUUAUGGAAGAGAUGUGCAGAUCAAGUGAUGAGGAGAUGUGUAAGUGAAAUGGAAUUUCAAUCGAUUUUAGUUUUUUGUCAUACUUUUGCAUGUGGGGGUCAUUUUGGACCUAAGAGAACUGCUCAUAAGGUUUUAGAAAGUGAAUUUUAUUGGCUUUCAUUGUUUAAGGAUGCCUAUGUGUUUUGUAAGUCAUGUGAUCGCUGUCAACGGGUAGGUAAUAUAGCCCGUAGAGAUCAUAUGCCCCAAGUCCCGUUGAUUUUUGUUGAAAUUUUUGAUGUUUGGGGUAUAGAUUUCAUGGGGCCUUUUCCUACUUCAUUUGGUUUUAUAUAUAUUUUGUUGGCAGUUGAUUAUGUGUCUAAAUGGGUGGAGGCCAAGGCCACUCGGACUAAUGACUCGAAAGUAGUUGUAGAUUUUAUCAGGUCUAAUAUUUUUGUGCGAUUUGGAAUGCCAAGAGUUAUUGUCAGUGAUAGGGGAACGCAUUUCUGCAACAAAACCAUAACUGCGUUAUUUCGCAAGUAUGGUGUACUCCACAGGGUCUCAACGUUGUACCACCCCCAGACCAAUGGUCAAGCGGAGGUAUCGAAUAGGGAGAUUAAGUCCAUUUUGGAGAAAAUGGUGCGCUCCGAUAGGAAAAAUUGGAGUCAACGGUUGGAGGACGCGCUCUGGGCCUACCGCACUGCAUACAAGACUCCUAUAGGGAUGUCACCGUACAAGUUGGUGUUUGGGAAGCCGUGUCACCUUCCAGUGGAGUUCAAGCACAAAGCCUUUUGGGCGAUAAAGCAAUGCAACAUGAACUUAGAGGAAGCCGGUGCCCAACGAAAGUUGGAUUUGCAAGAAUUGGAGGAGAUCCGGAACGAAGCCUACGAAAAUGCAUUAAUUUAUAAGGAGAGAAGCCAGACAUUUCAUGAUCAACAAAUUUCAAGAAAAACCUUUGAAAUUGGUCAGAAGGUCCUCCUGUACCAAUCCAGACUCAAGUUAUUCCCAGGUAAGCUACGUUCCCGUUGGAUUGGACCUUUUGUUUUGACUCACGUUUUUCCCUAUGGCGCAGUUGAAAUCCGGAGUGCUAAGACAGACAACAAGUUUGUGGUGAAUGGACACUGUCUCAAACAUUAUUACGAAGGUUUUUUGAGGGGAGAGGUGGAGACAAUAAGUCUAGACGCACCACCGUGUCCUAAUCAGUGACACUUAACCAUGUCUAGCCAAAGACAUUAAAGAAAGGCGCUCAUUGGGAGGCAACCCAAUUGUUUCUUUUAAUUGUUUGUUUUGAUUUCUUGUGGUAGUUUAAAUAUGUUUUCCUUAAAUUUGAUUGGUUUCGGGUUUGAAAUUUUCGUUUUUGCUGAUUUGUAGGUGUUCUUCUGUCAUGACGCGCCCGCGCGAUGACGUGGGGAGCGCUCACGGUCAGAGAGUUCUCCUGCUCUCAUGACACGCUCGCAUCAUGACGCCCAGGAAGCUCAGGGUCAGCAAGCUCUCUUGCUCUCAUGACGUGCUCGCGUCACGUUCGCGGGAAAGGUAAGGAUUAAAAAAAAAAAAAUUCUUCUUAUCACCAUAGCUUUAGUUUCCAAAAAUUCAAAAAGGAGAAAUUUUUUUUUUAAAAAAAAAGAAAAAAAAAGAAAAAUUUAAUUUCCGUACAAAAAUUUUUUUUUUCUCUGUGGCUUAAAUGGAGCCUAAAGACAAGAAAAAAAAAGCCAAAACAGUUUUUUUUUUCUUUUCCUUCUUUUCUUUUCUUUCUUUCCUUUCUUUUUCUUUCUUUCUUCUUCUUUCUUUCUUCUCCUCUGUUUUGCUCUGUCCGUCGCCCGUGCCCACCUCCAUCUCCGGCUCCACGCCGCCAACCAGCAGAUCUCCACUUCACACGUCACUUGCGCGCCGCCGCUGCUCAGAACAUCUCCCUUUUUCAGCAGCGAUCCACUUCGCAGCGCCGCUGCUGCGCGCCAGCGCUGCUCUGUGCGAGCUCUCCCUGAGCCAAACACCCAAGCGCGCGGCCUAUGCCACGCCGCUACGCGCCACCGCACCCCUCCCAACUCUACCGCGCGGACUCGCCGCCGCUCUGCUCCCACCGCACGCCAGAUUGCUCCUAUUCCGGCUCCAGCUCGGUCUCCACAGGUGCGUAACACGCCUCGCCUGUGUACGCCGCCGCUGCUCACUGCUUGCGUCUCACUUGCGCGCUGCCGACUCUCCCUCCGCUACUGCCGGCCGAUUGCUCUCUCUCUGCGCGCGACCCUAUCAGACCGCCUCGCCUCUGCAAGCCGCCAGCUCUCUCACCCCACUCGCCCCUUUUACGGUGGAGGUAUUUGAGACUUGCUCACCAAUUUCUUCGUACUAAUUAAGCUGUCUGGGUUGGUAGACAAUUGUUAUUGUUGGCCGUGGGAGCUAUCCUUUGGACUAUUUAUUGUGUUUUUGUUUGGAUUUGAGUUCUUUUGUUUUGGCUUGAUGGAUGAUUGCCCGUUCCUUUGCUCUUGGGUUGUCUGAUUAGCAUUUUUCAUUGCUAUUGAUGGUGCGUUAGCACACUGUUGAGCGUCAUCUACUUGUGGAAUCGAACCAUUGCUGUGUUUAGAGUUUUCAUUAGUGUGGGUCGGUCAUUGGGAUUGUUUCAUCUACUCUAUUGUUGACAGCCGGGGGCUUAUUGCUUGAAUUGUUGGGACUGAGGUGGCGCGAUUUCUGGGUUGUUUGUUGAAUUGGAAAGGCAUUGUGACCCAUGCAUUGUUUCUUGAAGUUGGUUAACUAAUUUUGGAUUACUGGGUGUAUUUGGUCUCUUGAUCUCACUUGCAUUCUGUUUUCAUUUCAAUUGAGUCGUUUACUGCCUUUGUUGGACCAUCUUAUUGAAUAACCUCUGCCAGUUGCUAGUUGUGGUUAUCAGUUAGGCUUCCUGUAGUUCCUGAGUAUCAUUGUUGCUUUGUUGGGAAACUGGUAUAAAUUGUGGGUGACUCUAUUGUCCAUUUGCUGGCUGAUUAACUCGGUAUUUGCUGGUUACACUGGGCGUUGGACAUUCGGCAUCUUGUUGUUCCUGCUGACUGUUGGGGAAUAUGGUGAGACCAAAAUCAUCCUCUAGGUCUAGAGCCCCUCGUUCUCAACCCCCUCCUCAAGCCUCCAUUCCUGUGAAUACACCUACCAACCUACCUUCCUCUUCUGGUGCUCGAACCCGUUUGGGUAGGGGUAGGGGUGCUCAAGUGGAUACCCCAACUCACUUCGGAGGGCACCUAACAUUCACUAGACCCGCCGAUCAGCAGAGAUAUGCUAAGGUCUGUGAGCGGCGUAUUAUACCUUGUAAAACUUGGGAAAAAUUAACCGUGAUGGGCCUAGGCAUACGAGAGGAGGUCGAGCAGAUGUUUACAGCUAUCGGGUGGCGCCCAUAUCUAGAUAUCUUAUGCCCCGCCUUUGUCAAGCUGACUCGGGAGUUUUAUUCUACCUUUGAAUUUGAGUUGCCCACGAGGUUCACCGUUGAAACGCCCAAUGUCAUCCGUUUUCGUCUGAUGGGUCGGGAAUUUAAUUUUUCAAUUACCCAAUUUAAUUUGGCAUUUGGAUUCAUUACUCGAGAGUAUGCUGAGACUAGGGAGUAUGGUGAGAGUGCCUGCGAUUACAUCGAGCCUUUUCUCUCCUGCUACCGCGCUGUGUGGGAAGACAUGUCUACCGAUCGGCACCGAUACGACCCUUCUCGGUCUAGGGGCUCCUUUUGUAAGGACCCUAGCGCCCGAUACGUCCAUCGAUUCUUAGCCUACAGUUAAAUAAUCGGAAUUGCCUUUAUUUCAAUGAUCAAUUAGGUGAACCAUUGCUGAAGUUAUUUCUUGGCUAGAUCUUUAGUUAAUAUUAUCUUGAUUUUAGUGAAGUGCCAUUUGACUUUUAGUUACCUACUUUAUUUUAUUUUUAAUUGUUUCCUUGUUUUAAUUGAUUUAGGUCUUUAAUUAUUGUUAUUCUAAAUUCAGUGAAUUGUGGUUUAAUUUCUAGUUAGUUAUUUAUUUUUAUUUUCUUAUUUGAAUUUAUUUGAUUGCUGUCGUUCCUACAAAAUCACCCCAUGUGUUACUUUGGAUUUCUUAAGAAACAAAUAUAUCCAGUCCCUGAGGAUACGAGCCUACUUGCCCUGUCUACAAAUUCAUAAUUAUUUGUAAAAGAAAUAACCAUCCCAUUCGGGUAUAUCGGAUUAAGCAAACUCUUCGGGAACAGGGAGAAUCAAGUAACCCAUUGCACACCUAGAGUCCCUGCUCCAGUACUUGGAAUUGGGUCUUGGUCAUUUUAACUGGCAAUUAGGUUUAGUUCAUCAAUGUCAUUCAAAAAAAAAAAAAAAAACCAGAACAACAAUUGUUUUGGGAAGCAAAUUAUUGGUAAUGACAAAAAAAUUAGCUAAUAUUGUACCAGUUGAGGUCCUUCAAGAUAGUAUUUGUUUGCAGGGAAAAGUGUGGAAAAGUGCAAGAAAGUUCUUUUUGGUUGGCAGGAAUAUUAUUAUUAUUAUUUGCAUUUUCUGGCACUUUUGUGCAUUUUGUAUCUUGUAAAAUUUAUGAAUUUUGAAGAAAAAUAGUUAAUUAAAACUUUUCUUCUCUUUACCUUCUUGUACAACUUUCCUUGUUUGAAACCCAAUUGAUGAUGAGCUCCAGAUCCUCAUUUCCAUAAUUUUUCUGUGCUUCUUCAAUUUCCAAUACUAAAGAUGUGACACGAUCUCUGCAAUGGUCGAUCUCAAUCGUUUCAAGAGUUGAUAUACGCCCUAAACAAGAAGGGACCAUUUUCAAUCCAGUAACGUAGUCGAGUUUUAAUCGCUGAAGACACGGAAAAUAAUCAUCACUAUCAGGGUCUGUCUCUGUCCACUCCACAAGCUUUAGAUCAGACAUAAUCAAGACCCUAAGCUUAGAGAAUCCUCCUUCCAUCAGCUCCCAUCUUUCGCCAUCCAAUGAAUUACUGUUAUGACCUGAAUUCAUGGGAAGCUAUUAAACUAACUACCAGAAAGAGUCAGCAGAGGAGGUAGCAUGAGAAAUGGGAGCACAGGGGAAGAAUCACGUGACAAAGCCUGGUCCUAACAGAAUGAAGAGUUUUGGCGGGAAAGUUAGUUAAUUGCUAGCAAUCUGGUAAUUGAAAGAACACUAGGAUUUGUAUAAGUAUUACAUCUGCAAUUGUAAUAAUCAUCAGAUUCAUUGUUGCUUAAUUCUCUUCUCAAUAAUAUCUCAGUCUCUCUCAUUAUCUUUUCCCACCUCCCUCUGAAAUUCUUCUCCUUUCUCCCUCCUGAUUUCUCUUCUUCUAUCUUCCCUACUGAUAUAAUUCAGUUUCUCGACUCCAAUCCUCAACAGUGGUAUCAGAGCUUGCGGUCCUCGGAUUGCAAGUUCUUCCACAAUCCAUAAUGGCAGAAGGUACACGCAUGAAAAGCUUCGAAGAGCAGCUUAGGAAACAGGAUGCCAGGAUUCAAGCGGUUCUCGAUUCCAUGAUAGCAGACAAGCAGGUCAUGGAGGAAAAGUUGGAAGUUAAUCAAAGGGAGAUGCGGUCCUUACUGGAAGCAAAUAGCGCAGAACUGAAGAACUUUGUGAGUAGCCAGAUCAGCUCGAUCUUGAGAAGUUUGCAGGGGGACAAAGGCAUUUUGGGAAAUCCUAAUGGUUCUGCAGAAAGGACUCCUAACAAUCGAAAUGCGGGAAAUUCGAAUACCAGGCAUGGUGAAUUUGGCAAUUCCUCUAGAGGAGAGGGGCAACACUGGCCCAUGGGGGUCCCCAGGUUGGAUUUCCCCAGAUUUGAUGGCCACAGUCCUAAGGAGUGGGUCAGGAAGUGUGAGAAAUUUUUCCAACUAUUUCGCACUACUGAGGAGCAGCAGAUGGACCUUGUGGAACUGCACUUAGAAGGAAAGGCGGAUCUCUGGUAUCAGAAUUUCAAAAAAGAUAGGGGAAUAGUCCAAUGGAAGGAUUUUGGAUCAGAAAUAUGUAGGAGGUUCAGCACUGUGGGAGAGGCUGAUGCAGUGGAAGAGUUUAGCAAACUCAAUCAAACCUCCACUGUUUUGGCUUAUCAGGAGAAGUUUGAGGAGUUGAGGUCUAUUGUAAUGAUCCAGAUGCCAGAACUGACUGAAUCCUACUACAUUUCUAGUUUCUUAAGUGGACUGAAGGGGGAAAUUAAAUCUGCCGUGAAGAUGCACAGGCCAGACAGUCUACAGUCUGCCUUUGAGAUGGCCAGAUGGCAGGAACAUCACUUGGAUCUGGUUCACAAGUCCAGUAGGCCUAUACUCAGAAAUACCAUGCACUCAACCUCAUUUGGAAUUAACAAAGGAGGAAAUGGAGCUCAGGAUCCGGGAGCAAGACAAGCGGGAACAUCACCAACAGAAUUCAGUAGGAAGUCUAAUUCACAGCAAGUUUUCAAGAAAAUCUCCCCCACUGAAUUCCAGUACAGGAAGGAUCACAACCUAUGUUUCAGGUGUGGAGAAAGAUUUAGUCCAGGUCACAAUUGCAAAAGCAAGGGGAUCCACAUGAUGAUAGUAGGAGAGGAGGAGAAGGGUGAGGAAAAUCACACAGCAGAAGAGGAGGAGGUUAUUGAAUACAUGGGAACUCAGCAAGAGCAUGAGGUGAUGCUAACCUUGCAUGCACUGUCAGGGGAAUUAUCCUCAAGCAUUAUCAAAAUGCAAGGGGAAUAUAUGAACCAGCACUUGACAAUCCUGCUAGAUGGGGGAAGUACUAAUUGCUUUAUCAGGAGGAGUGUGGCUCAGCAAUUUCCAGAAAGGGUACAGAACCACAGGCCCUUCAAGGUCAAGAUAGCUGAUGGCAAGGAGUUGACAUGUGACCAGUGGAUUCCAGGGAUGCAGUGGAGCAUGCAGGGCCACAGAUUUGCACACGAUGUGUUUGUAUUGGACCUGGAGCCUUAUGACUUGAUCCUUGGAGUUGAUUGGAUGAAGUCCUAUAGUCCUAUUACUUUUGAUUUCAAGAAGCUGAAUCUGUCUUUUGAAAAAGGAGGGGAGCAAGUGGUGCUAAAUGGAGACUCCAACAAUGCAAACGUAAGGAUGCAGCAAGGUCCCUCAGCUCACAAGUAUGUCAAACACAAGAUCAGGAAGGCAUUGCAGCAAGCAUGUAUGGUGAAGAUUCACAACUCACAGGUAAUUUCUGAACCAGAUUCUCUUACUAAGUUGUUGGCUAAGUAUGAUGAUGUCUUUGCAGAACCAAACACCCUUCCCCCAAAUAGAUGCCAUGAUCACCAAAUUCCCCUCAAACCAGAUGCCCAACCAUUCAAAAUUCCUCCCUACAGAUACCCUCAUGUACAAAAAAAUGAGAUUGACAGACAGGUGAAAGAUAUGUUGAACUCUGGCCUUAUACAAGAUAGCCAUAGCCCCUUUGCAUCACCUGCUCUUUUAGUAAAAAAGAAAGAUGGGAGCUGGAGGCUUUGUAUUGACUAUAGGCAACUGAACAACCUCACUAUUAAAGAUAAAUUUCCUAUACCUAUUAUAGAUGAUUUAUUGGAUGAACUAUAUGGAGCCAAGAUUUUUUCUAAAAUUGAUCUGAGAUCGGGCUAUCACCAAAUCAGGAUGAAUCCUGAUGACAUCCAUAAAACUGCUUUUAGGACUCAUUCUGGUCUAUAUGAAUUCUUUGUCAUGCCAUUUGGUCUAACAAACGCCCCAGCCACCUUUCAAGCACUAAUGAACUCUGUCUUUGAACCUUAUAUAAGGAAAUUUGUUCUUGUGUUCUUUGAUGACAUUUUAAUCUAUAGUCCAGACUCCAAGAGUCACCUACACCACUUAUCCAUAGUUUUGGUAACCCUGAGACAACACUCUUUGUUUGCAAAGAUAUCUAAGUGCUCUUUUGGUCAAGACCAAGUAGAGUAUCUGGGACACAUAAUUACUAGUGCAGGGGUGAAAACUGAUCCAUCCAAGGUGGAAGCUAUGCUGUCCUGGCCAACGCCCUCCUGUGUAAAGGCUCUCAGAGGAUUCUUGGGCUUGACAGGUUACUAUAGGAGGUUUGUUAAGGGGUAUGGGGAGAUUGCUAAGCCUCUUACUGAACUGCUAAAAAGGGAUCAAUUUGCAUGGAGUACUGCUGCAGAAACUGCAUUCCAACAAUUGAAGCUGGCAAUGAGUGCAGCACCAGUGUUGGCAUUACCUGACUUCUCAAAGCCAUUCCUGCUGGAAACUGAUGCCAGUCAGAAAGCCAUUGGUGCUGUUCUAAUGCAACAGGGGAGGCCAAUAGCUUACUACAGCCAAGUACUGGGACAGAAUAAUCAAGCCAGGUCUACCUAUGAGAAGGAACUCUUAUCACUCAUCACUGCAGUUCACAAGUGGAAACACUACUUGAUGGGACAUCAUUUCAUUAUCAAAACUGAUCAUGAGAGUCUCAAAUACUUGUUGGAUCAGAAAAUUAACACCUCUCUCCAACAAAAAUGGCUGGUUAAACUUAUGGGAAUGGAUUAUGAGAUUCAAUACAAAAAAGGGAAGGAAAAUGUAGUUGCUGAUGCCUUGUCAAGGAGGGGUGACUUGGAGAAUACAGCAGAAACAUCUGUGCAUACUAUCACUGCCAUCAAGCCUCAGUGGUUGACCAUGGUAGCUGAGAGCUACAACAGUGAUGAGAUGGCCAAGGAGGUUCUGCUGAAGUUAGCUAUGGGAGCUGACGCAUUACCAGAUUACUCCUAUAACCAGGGAAUUCUAAGGUUCAAAGGAAGGGUGUGGAUAGGAGCGGAUUCUGAAUUAAGACAAAGGCUGGUUUCUUGUUUUCAUGAUUCUAGUCUUGGGGGACAUUCUGGGAAUCUUGGUACUUAUCAGAGGAUUAAGAGUUAUCUAUACUGGCCUGGAAUGAAGAAGGAAGUGGAGCAAUAUGUACAGAGCUGUGAGGUCUGCAAAAGGAGCAAAAAUGAAAAUUGCCCCUAUCCAGGUUUGCUGCAGCCACUGGCCAUACCUGACCAAGCUUGGCAACAAAUUUCUAUGGAUUUCAUAGAGGGAUUACCCAAGUCCUUUGGUUGUAAUGUGAUCUACGUGGUGGUGGACAGAUUCACUAAAUACGCCCAUUUUAUCCCAAUGACCUCUCACUAUACUGCUAAAAGUGUCGCAGAGGCAUUCUUUGAUCAGAUUUUUAGGUUUCAUGGCCUACCAACGCACAUUGUCUCUGAUAGGGACAAGGCUUUUACUAGCUUGUUCUGGCAAGAGCUCUUCAAAAUGCUAGGCACAGAAUUAAAUCUGUCAUCUGCAUAUCAUCCUCAGUCUGAUGGACAGACUGAGAGGGUGAAUAGGUGUGUGGAAAAUUACCUGAGAAGUAUGUGUAUGUAUCAACCAGGGAAAUGGAGGAAAUGGCUACCUGCUGCAGAGUGGUGGUACAACACUAACCACCAUAAUAGCUUACAAAUGUCUCCCUUUCAGGCCUUGUAUGGUUACAAGCCUACUCAGAUGAACCUGAGGCCUGAUAGCACACUAGUAGCUGCAGUGGAGGAUUGGGCACAAGAGCGAGUGGGCUGGAACUCCUUGCUCAAGGAGAAUCUGUUGAAGGCUCAGAACAGGAUGAAACAAAUGGCAGAUAAAGGGAGGAGUGACAGGGAAUUUGAAGUAGGAGAAUGGGCUUAUUUGAAGCUUCAGCCUUACAGACAAACUUCUGUAGCUGUAAGAAGGAACAUAAAACUGGCGGCUAAGUAUUAUGGGCCAUAUCAAGUAGAGCAAAAGUUGGGGACUGUAGCUUACAGGUUGAAGUUACCAGCAGGAUCAACCAUACAUCCUGUUUUCCAUGUCUCCUUACUCAAGAAGUCACCUAAGGGGGCUCCUCUUAGCACUGCCUUGCCUACCCUAAAUGAUGAUGGAGAGUUUGGUGUUGCUCCCUCAGCAGUUAUAGACCAGAGGACAAUCUUUAGAAAAGGGCAAGUGGUCGAACAGGUGUUGGUGCAAUGGGAAAACAUGGAACCUGAGGAAGCCACCUGGGAAGAUUGGACAUUCAUUCAUGCUCAAUUCCCUACCUUCCAAUUUAAUCAAUCCUAGAGACUAGGAUUAUUUUUAGGGGGAGGCAUUGUUAUGACCUGAAUUCAUGGGAAGCUAUUAAACUAACUACCAGAAAGAGUCAGCAGAGGAGGUAGCAUGAGAAAUGGGAGCACAGGGGAAGAAUCACGUGACAAAGCCUGGUCCUAACAGAAUGAAGAGUUUUGGCGGGAAAGUUAGUUAAUUGCUAGCAAUCUGGUAAUUGAAAGAACACUAGGAUUUGUAUAAGUAUUACAUCUGCAAUUGUAAUAAUCAUCAGAUUCAUUGUUGCUUAAUUCUCUUCUCAAUAAUAUCUCAGUCUCUCUCAUUAUCUUUUCCCACCUCCCUCUGAAAUUCUUCUCCUUUCUCCCUCCUGAUUUCUCUUCUUCUAUCUUCCCUACUGAUAUAAUUCAGUUUCUCGACUCCAAUCCUCAACAAUUACAUCUUAAUUUGAGGACCUCAAGAUUGGGUAGUUGUUCAAUCAGUGGCAUUUUACUACAGGGAAGACACAGACGGGCAAGACACAACUUUUUCAAAUUCAUGGGAAAAGAAAGCUCAACAUGAUCCAGCUGAUUUGGUAAGAAGGAGCCCAGCUCCAAGGUGAGUGAUUCUAGGCAUUCUAGUCGACUCAUGUUGCAGCAUAGUCUAUCUAGUUCCCGAUCAUUGAAAACUUUUAGUUGGCGAAUGUUGGGAAUCCUUUCCAAUAUGCUCUCUGCUUCUUGAUCAAGAUAAAGACACAGACUGGAGAGUGUGUCCAAAUUGGGUAAAGUGGAGUGGUUUUCAAAAACGUUGUCAUUGGAAGCAAAAGGAAGAACAACAGAGCCCCCGCUAACAUGUACGUGCCUCAACUCCUUCAUGUUCCAAACGCUUUUUGGCAAAAAAACCAUCUCACAAGAUCUUAGACGAAAGGUUUCUAAAUGUGAGAGCUUGGCGAUAGACGAUGGAAUGGAUCUCAUCCACAAAGCUGUAAGGGCUAAAUACCUCAAAAAAAGAAGUGAUUCGACUUCAGUUGGAAGCUUUGUCAGACUUAGGUAAAUGCGCUCUAAAUUCAGAACUUUAAGAUGUUUGUAGAUGCAAAAAAGGAAGGAAACGUUAACCAACUGAAAAUCAUAUCCUUGAAUCCUAUCAAAGAAUAGCAGAGUACCUAAAUGUGGACAAAAUAGCCUUGACCUUAUAAAAUCUUCCCCACUGGAGCAAAUGGACAACCGAGGUGGGGUGGGAGGCUCAUCAAAGGUAGAAAGCUCAUCAUAUCCAUGCAGGACCUGAAGAAAAUUCUUUUCUUUUGCCUCGGUCUUACAGAACUCAAAUAUCAAAUCGUGAAUGUAACAAGUUUUGACUCCACCAAUGGAUCUGCUUUUACUUGCCAUAACUAAAUUGCGACCAAUCAGGUCCAUCAGAUAUUCUUCUGCAAUGUCCUCUGAUCUCUUGCCUUCAAUUUUUUCUACAAAACCUUCUGCAACCCAUAGACAUAUCAAAUCUUUUGCAUAAAUUAUUUCAUCUUCUCGAAAUGCAGCAAAGUACAACAGGCAAGCCUUCAAGUGAUAUGGUAAAUGCUCGUAACUGAGCUCCAAUGACUUUUUGCACUGGUCUGCACUAGACACCAUGGUUGAAGUUAAACUUCUAGCAAAAUCUUCCCAAACCAAAAUAUCAUGCUCUAUAGUUGCUAGGACUCCAGCUACAACAACAACUGCAAGUGGCAAUCCCGUACACUUUUUGGCAAUCUCCAUCCCAAUUCCACGCAAUACUUGAGGACAAUCUUCUUUUCCAAACACCUUCUUUUGCAAUAAUUCAAAACAUUCUUUCUCAUGGAGUGGGCGAAGAUUGUGAGGUUCUCCAGCAUAUUGAACCUGUGAAGCCACAUUAGAAAAUCGACUCGUGAAAAGGAUUCUACUUCUCUUCUUGUCAUCGGGGAAUGAAAUUCUCAGCUCAUUCCAUACCUUAAUGUCCCAGACAUCAUCAAAAACAACAAGAUAGCUCUUCGUCUUCAGCCUUUGAUAGAGCUUUUGAAGCAAUUCAUGUUCAUUCAAGUUUUUAAGCUCUUCAUCCAUGCUAGACUGUUUUCCAUCAGAGCACAAAAUUUGCAUUAACAAGCUUUUCAUGUUAAAUGCUUGAGAAACAGUACACCAAAGACGAAUGUGGAAGUUAUAGAUAAUUGAACUAUCAUUGUAAACUUUUUUGGCUAAAGUUGUUUUACCAAGCCCAGCCAUUCCGACAAUGGGAACAAAUUCCAGCUGUUCUGAUCCGCUUCUAAGUCGUUCAAUUACUUUUUCUGCCUCAUCAUCAAGACCAACCAUGACUUCAUGGACUGUUGGUAUAUUUUCUUUAGAUGGCAUGUGCCUGGAAGGCUUGCAAACUUCUUGUACUCUUAAGCUAUGAGAGUAAUUAGGAAGACUAUCUAUAAUGCUUGGGCCACUGAUCUUAUCCUUAAAAUGCUUGAUAUGGGUGUUGGUAUUAGCCAGCAUAUCAUAACAAACAAGAGCAUCUUUGGAUUCUAAGCAGCUAACUUCUCCUUCUUUCACUUUGUUUAGAGAAGGGAAAAAAAUUAUAAUCCCUGCCUCACUAAGAAGAGCUCCAACUUUUUCAUUUUCUUCAUCCAUCUUCUCAUAAUGCUCCCUUAAUAUGCUCCUCAAGAAUCUCAGUCCUGCAUAGAGUGUUUGCAUUUUAUCUUUCAUAGAAUCCAUAAAGCUAGAGCUGCAGCAUAAUAGCUCCCAGAGACAACUUAGCAGAGAAUCAUUGAAGUUGAUCAAUAUCUGCUUAUCCAUCAUUGUACUCUGCGAAGAUUUUGAGGAUCUCGUACAUCCAAGAGCUUCCAUAUAAAUCUCAUAGAGUUGAAAAUCAACAGCUCUGAUCUUCCGUUGUUGUUUAUAUAUCUUGGAGUAGAUCCUACGAUUCGUCCACCUUUUCUCAGGAUCAUCAUCCGAAAAAGAGCACAUGUAAGAGAGGCGUGCUGCGUUCAAAGCCACCACCUCAAAGUGAGACAAUAGCAAGGCAGGAAUAUCUACAGUUCCUCGUAAUUUGGCAAAGGGAAUGAAGCUUUUCAAGAAUGUUAGCUUUACUUCAAGGGCUUGCAAUUCGGCACUCAAUGCAGCAGAAAGAGAAGAUUUAUUAACUUGGGAUUCCUUACGAAGAAAUGAAUCGGAAGGCAUCAAAUCCGCUAGAUUUUGUAGAAUGAGGUCUAUGAAUUCCAUUAAUUCAUCAUCUCUCCUGCAAGAAUUUGACUGCAAUGACCUGCUGCUUACCAACAUAACGUACACUUGGAUGAUUUCUUGCUUAAAUGAUUUGAUCUGUUUUCGGAAUUUAGAGAUCAGUGGUUCGUCAAGAGUAUGUGACAUUUCUUCAGUUUCUGAUCUAAGGGAAAGAGAGUGAAUGUCCUCCUCAUAUUUGUGAACAGUAUCGUCAAUGCAAGAUAGGAAGGAUGGAAGACUCACCUUCUUAACAACAUUAUCAGAUUCCAAGUACAAAUCAUUGCUUUGGCUCCACUUUCUUGCACACACAAUAAAUGUUUUGAGGAAUUUCACGUCCCUGAUUGCAUCUGCAACAUCGGAAACAGCAACAUAAUGGCGUUUGUAGUUGUUCAUGAGCAACUCUAGAUCAAGUAAGACACGAUCGACGCAAGUGGAGGGCCUGGAGGCCAUCUCCAUCUCUCAUGCAGGGAUUUUCCUCAGUUUCACUGUCAAAUUUCAAGGGAAAAGCAAAUCUCACCUACUGCAGAGCUAGCAACUAUUUCUUUCCUGAAAAAUCUUUUUUGCCCCCUUUUCUGGUGGGAAGUUGAAGAAGAGAAAUGUGAUAAUAAAUUACUAUUCAACAGCGUACAAAUAAUCUGGAAGUCAUCUUGGUUUGAAUAAUGAUUUUUGUGAAUGGAUCCGCACCUAGACUUGCUUUUCUUUUUAAAAUAUUUUUUUUGGAUAAAUUAGUACUUUAAGUCCCUGUUAUUUAGUGCGUUUUCGUAUAAUCACCGUAUGGUAAAACGUACAUAACGCCCACGCUUUGUAAGUACAGUGUCAAAAUGAUGGGUAUCGUUCGUCCCUCCGUGAUGGAAUAAGCUAAAAUGUUAACAUUAUUCCUAUCAAAAGCCUAAAAUCUCACUUUUUCUCGCUAAAAAAUAAAAAGGAAAAAAGAUAUAUAUAAAUAUAGGGUAAAUUACACAUUUGUACCUUGUGGAUUAUUAUUGUUAAUUUUUUUAUUUUACAUAAUGCUUCUGUAUUUUGAAAAGUUAUACAUAAUCACUGGGGUUAACAAAUAAUCUCAGUCUUAAUGUUGGGAAUGCUUUUGACAUUUUAGUUAGUUUCAUUGUAGAGGAGCACGUUAAUUUAAUAUCAGGUAAAUUGUAUAUAAUCCCUCUAUGGUUUCGUCAAUUGUCAAAUAAUCCCCCUAAUAUUUCAAAAUAUUCACUUCAUCUUCUAUGGUUAUAUGUAAAGUAAAAACUUGAUAGAAAAUAUUAUAUAUAAUGCCAUUAAUUGAAAUACUAAUACUCCCCUUACUUAAAUACUAAAUCAAUUGAUGGCUUAACUCCUUGUAUAGAAGUAUAGGGAGAUUAUAUGGGUAAAUGAAAAAAUCAUAAGGGGAUAAAGUAGAUACUUAUACAAAUCAUUUAGGGGUUAUAUGGAGAUUAAGGUUUUAUCACGCAUGCUUUUAGAGCUCGUUUGGUAUAAAUGUUAUAACUGAUUGAACAUUUCGUCCAUUUUUCACUUUAGAUAAAUGCCAUGGGGAAUUAUGUGACUAUUUUGAAAUCUUGUGGGGGGGGUCAUCUUGCAUUAUAUAAAAUCACAGGAUGUUCUAAGUAAUUUAUCCUUUAAUAUUUUAGUCCAAAACAUGGGGAUAUAUUUAUAACAUUUAAAACUAUAGGAGAUUUAUGUAAAAAAGUGCAACCAUAUGAGGCCAAAUAAAUUUAACCAAGAUUUGUCCUUGUAAUCAGGAAAGAAUUUCUUGCAUAUUAGCCUAGUUACCCUUAGUUAAAGAGAGAGUGGGAAGAAAAGGACAAAACGGGCUAAAGAUAUAGGUGGCAAAUCAACCCAUUUUAUUAAAUUUAUCCAUACCCACCCAUGAAUAGAUGGGUAUGGAUUUUUUUAGUUUUUGCAUAUAGGUAUAAAUGUGUUACCCAAUAAUACCCAUUCAUAUGCAAAAUGGGUUACCCAAGAAUACUCAUUCAAUGAAUGGGUAUUAUUGGAUAACCAAUCAAACCCAAUUAAUCCAUUUAGAAUUAUUUUCCCCCAAAUCUCCUCUCUUCUCCCUCCCAAUUUUUUUUCUUCAGAUUUUUCAUUUUGUUAUGAUGUUAACUACUUUUGUUUCAUUAUUAUCUUUAUUUGUUGAUUUUAUUUUAUCAGUUUAUUUUCUCUUAAUUUGUUAACUUACUCAUUUUUUAGCAUUACCAAUUUAUGAUAAGUUUUAGCCUCUUUUCCUACAUUUCCAAAAUGAAAUUUUAAAUUUACAUUAUGAAAAAAAUAUUAGGGGUUCAAAAUUUUUGGAUUAAAUUUUUAUGUUAAUUUUUAUAGUACUUAAUUUAAAUUUUUAUAUUCUUAUUAUUCAAUUAUUAAAUAGUAUUUAAUUUUGCAACAUAGAGUACGGAUAGGAAAAAAUUGAUAAUUAGACUUAUUGAACAUUAUAAGUAAAUUUUUAAAACUAAUGAUGGGUGCAAAGAGUGGUAUAAAUUAAUAACUUAGUUUGCAAAAAUGAAUUUAAAUGAGUUUACAAAAAGUUAAAAUAAAUGGAUUAUAAAUGGGUAAUUGGGUUACCUAAUUCAUUUUUUGACUUACCAAUUUGUACCCAUCUAAUUAAUUGGGUUUAAAUGGGUUGACUCACUUAUACCCAUUACCCAUUUUACCCAAUUCAAACCCGUCCAAGUCACUCAUUUUGACACCUCUAGCUAAAGAAAGAGUUCAAGUUAAGUAGAAACUUCCAACAUCACAGAAAUAAAUUUUAAGCACGAGGAAUAACUUUUUCACUUAUCGAAAUGUUAAAAAUGAAGUGAUAAGUUACACAUCUUUGUUUUCUUAGAUUGCCAAUUAAUUAUUUCUUUCAAAAUGCAACCAUUGUUAUUAAAUACAAUACAUCUUAAUGCUGCAAACAUCAACCUGUGCAAUUAGUAGUUGUUAAUCUUAAUUACUAAGAAAACCGUAAAAUGACUAAACCGAUAUUUUAGUUUAAUGAAAUUAACAAGUUGAAUAAAAAUAAUUACAAAUUAACAAGGCCCUUAAGCGUAUCUCCCUAGUUUGGCCGGUAAAUAAUCUGGCAACUCUUAACCGUUAUAGGUCAGUUAGCUGGUACAAACAAUAGCUACGCAUCCUACUGUUCCAAAUUCUCAAACCUUCGCUUUCCCCAUUGGGGGUAUAAACAAUCAUAAUCAACCCGAAUAUCCCAGUGUCCAAACUUGUUUGAUCAUUUUAACGAAUUUGAAGUUUUAUUUAUUUAUUUACCAAACUAAGUUUGAACGAAUUUUUUAUCGCAAACUGACUUUGAACAAACUCAAUUGGUAAAGCUCCGCCCUUGCAUUGGGUAGUGUUCAAUAAAAUGUUAUUGAAUAUAAAAUGUUAUUCGAAUUUGGUUUGAUUAGUGAUCAAAUCAAGUUUGAACGUAUGAGCUCUUACCAAGUUAAGCUUGAUUCGAGUAUCGAAUAAUUUUGUUCAUUUUUCAAUCUUAUUUUUCAUCGCUUUCUAAGGUCUAAAGUCUUUGCUGGAUCACAAAUAUAAUUAAAAAGUAAAUCUAAAAUGUUUUACAUAUUUUCGCCUUGCGUGCUUUGAGCAUAAAAUUGGCAAUCAAAAUGGACCUAGGCAAUGAUAAUGAUCCUUUAAUCAUAGUGAAUCUCACAUUGGACGCUGCCAGCCAAGAUGUCACUAGCUAAUUGUACAACUACUUUCUUUGGGACUGGAUGUAUCCUGUAUCUAAGAAGUUGCGGCUCAACAAUAAUCGAAAAACUUCAAAGCAUCACAACUAACAAAUGCCAACAGCAGACUUAUGCCAUAACGUAAUUUAACAUUUAAAUUUAAUGGAUUCAAAUCUUAACAUGUUCGAUGCGUUUGAUAACCAAAAGUUAAACAUAUAAAUUAAUUAAGUAGCAUUAAAUUUUCUAAACAAAACUUACUCGUAAAAAUAAGUAACAAAUUAUUCAUUUAUCAUUGAAUAUGAUAUAUACUCAAAUAUAUUAGAUUUAAUACUUAACUAUUUAAUAAUUUAAUGAAUUCAGACUUUAGAUUUCAUAUUUCAUAUUUCAAUUUUCAAACUUUACUCUCAUCAAACAAACGCACCCUUAGAGGCCUGGCUAUCGCACAUGUCAAGUCCAACAAACGAGAAAACAUAGUCCGGGGAAAUGUAGACAAAGGGUCAAUUAAUAUCUUUGCAGAUUGUUUGAUGAUGAAUUAAUUUCUAUUAUAAAACCAUCAAGUUUAUGCUAUACUUUUCUUUUUUCCUUGUAGUGAGAUGUUUCGAAUUCAAAAUCUCUCACUUAUACUCUUGUUCUUCGUACAGUCCAACCCAUUUCUCCGCUCCCCUCAGGUUUAUGGUAUACAAAUGCUACAAGACAGAGAAAAGAAAAUUUGAUAUACUUUCAAUUUUGAAGGCCAAGAGAUCGAAUUAUUUAGCAGGGUUGUUUGUAUCAGUAAUGCCACAAAAAAAAAGAGAACUAAUUUCACUUUUCACCGUCUUCAAUGAUUUCCACUUUGCAUCUCAAACUUUUUUCCAAAUAUUUUUCACAUUAAAAUCACCUCAAAAUUUAAUUUUGAACAUUUUGCACCCUGAAAUUAGCAAUUCAUCCAUGGCAUCGCAAAAUAUUAAUGUAAUUAUAGGAAUAAUAUCCACCUACGCUAGCUUCUCAACCGUACAAAGUAGGAAUGGUUCUUUAGAAUAUCCAGGGAAAAAAAAAAGAAGAGUGAAUGCAUAUCUGUUUUUUAGCACUUCCACGUGCAAUAUGAGUUGUCGGGCUGAUAUUAGACGCUCUGAUGAUUUUAGGAUUUGAAAUGUGUAAAAUAAAAGUUAAAGAUGCAGAGUAAUAAUGGGCUGCAAACUUAAAAGCAGGGAAAGUGGAAUUAACCCCAACAAGAACGUCGUGCACGGAUCAGUCUCCUUCCUAUUAUAUUCCUCAAACUAAUUAAUAAAUAACUCAAUAAGAUAACCAACAGAAAAAAAAAAUUCCACAAGCUUGAGACCACAGAAGUUUUAAAAUCGAGUUUAAAUUCAUCAUGUUGAAGAGUUGUGGCCAGAUUCCUUCGAGAAGGAUGAGUUUUGAAGUUGUGCAUCUCGCUGGCGGAUCUACGUAUUGGACAAUGGAGGCACGUACUUUUUUUUUUUUUUUUUUAAACUAGAUCUUUUUUAUGGAGGCACGCACCCAACUGGCCAAAACGAAGUAUUUAUAUCAGGCAUGAAUUUGUUUUUUAUUAUCAUCAAUCAUCAUCAACAUAUAAGACUAACAGCGAAGGAUGGUUACUGUUCAUAAGCUUUUCGUCGUCCUCACGUGCCGAAGGAAGGUCCUCGCGUGCUACUGUAUUAUUAUUUUUCGCCUCAGCUCUUCUCGUCGUCUCGUCUCAUCUCAUUAAUGCACCCACGUGCUUUUCCAUUUUUUUUCCCUUCUCCGUCUGCUUUGGUUCUUUCUUAAUAUCUUCCCUUUCACCUCUUUUUCAUCUCAUCUCAUCAAUGCACCCGCAUGCUUUUCCAUUUUUUUAUUAUUACACGAUGGAUUUUAUCCUUUGGAUUUAUGGCCUCCGUCCUUUACCUGAAAUUUCUUCUCUUCUACCUAGCAAUUGGAGGCAUCUCAUUAAUGCACCCACGUGCUUUUCCAUUUUUUUUUCCCUCCUCCGUCUGCUCUGGUUCUUUCUUAAUAUCUUCCCUUUCACCUCUUUUCAUCUCAUCUCAUCGAUGCACCCGCAUGCUUUUCCAUUUUGUCGUCAUCCGUCUGCUGUGGUUAUGAAUGAGUGUGCUGAGAAUCUUUUUCUUAUUAAUUGGAGUAAGGCGUAUUACACGAUGGAUUUUAUCCUUUGGAUUUAUGGCCUCCGUCCUUUACCUGAGAUUUCUUCUCUUCUACUCAGCAAUUGGAGGUACGAUUCCUUUUUCUCCUUCCUAUCUCAGUUUUUGGCUCUUCCUUUUAAUGAUUGUGAUAUUUUUCUAGGGUUCCUCUCCCAGCUAUUUGCGUUCUUCAACCUUACUCUUUUGUCGGAAAUUUCUUCUGUGCUUUUUUCUUUUUUUUUUGGUUGUAUUUUCGCUUGCAUGCUGAAUUUUACAGGUGUUGUUCUUGUCUUUUUAUUUUCUAGGCUUCCUCUUCCAGCUGUUUGCGUUCCUGCAAAGGUUGAUCUUUUGUCGGAAUUUUCUUCUGUGUCUUUUCCAUUUUUCCCCUCUUUGCCUAUUUUACGAUUGUUGUUCUUGUCUUUUAAUUUUUUUGCGUUAUUUUGUUGUUUUCGGGGUAACCUUGUGCAUUUGUCUUCCAAAUCUGCGUAAAGGUACUGUUUUUUCCCCCUUAUUUUUUUUGUGAUCGCCUUUUCGUUUGAGUUGUCUUUUCUUUCUCCUUUGAACCGGUCUUAUCUGUGCCUUUUUGUUUUGCAGGAAUGACAACUGCUGCUGCUUCUACUGUUAGUUUUGAGCCCGAGCUUGGUGCCAUUCCAUGUGAGCCUUUUGACGAAUCUUCAGGUUUUUAUGUUUUAUAGGUUUUGUCUUAGUUGCCUUUGGGUAUGCUUGUUCUAUAUAUUUAUCUUAUUGCUGCUAUUGCUUCAACCGUUGCUGCUGCGCUUAAGCUUCUUCGCAUAUCAAAUGUCUCUGAAUCUACACGUGGUUGGAUGACCUUGGUUCAUGUUGUUGAGGCUGAUCGUGUAAAGGUUGCUAGCCAUGGAUCGAUUUCGAAGUCGUUCCGUUACAAGGAUUUCUCUCUCCAAACUUUUCUCUUAUCUCAGUUCUUUGCCGAUCCUUUCUCUGUUUCUAUAGUUUCUGCUAGGGUUUUUGUGCGCCGCUCUCCCUCUGUUGGUCUGCUGCUCCUCUUUGUUCUCAAAAAAAUUUUCUGAUCUCUCUUUUCCUUCUUUCCUUCUCAUUAUCUUAUCUCUUUCUCUUUCCUUUUAUUUCCUUCUUUCCUUCUUCAUUAUCUUAUCUUUUUCUCUUUCCUUUUAUUGAUAUUCAUAUUUGCUUCUAUCUUUUUCUUUAAUAUUAUCUCAAGCAGAUCUGCAUUUUUUUCAUUAGAAAUACUUAAUAUAGAGAUUGACGGUGAAUAAAGCUCCAUCGCCAUCUUAGUUGGCUAUUCCUAUACUCAACAUUGGUAAUUCUAUGAUUUUACUUCCUUGUGUUUUUUUCUUUUUCUUUUUAAUUAUUGUAACUGAUUUAAACCUUUCUUUAGAAUGAAAAUGUGUUGCAACUAAAGAUGAUUAAAGCCCCAUGACUACAAUCAGCAGCUAGCCAUAUCAAGCAACAUGCUCUACCAUCGGUAAUCCCUCCUUACUUCCUUUUUUCUUGAAAAAAAUUAUAUUAUGGUGAUAUGCUCGAAUUCCCCCUUUUUCUGACAUUAAGCAGCAUAUAAACAAUGCACUUACGGAGUAAUAAUUUUAAGAAGUAGAAAAGUGGGUUGUUCGAUAGAAUUUUGAAAAAAAUGUUACUGCCGAUGAUGCUUUGUUUGACGCUUGAAUCAACUAUUGUGUAUGACAAGAAAAAAGGCUGAUAUUUUAGAGAGAGAGAUUUCCCACAAAGAAAAAAUGAAAUUAAAGUCUGUGCACUCAAUUAUUUCAAAAUUAUUAUUUAUGUACAGUUCACAUCUUUUCUAUUUCUUGUUCGAUAUUUGGUAAUUUGAGUGGUGUUUGUGUUUUUGUGGAGUCUUCGUUUAACAUCCAUCACCUUGAUUUGAAGGUGACUAAAAUUCUUUGUUUGGUUUUUCUAUUAUAAUUAUUUGACUGGGGUUUUCUAAGUGUUUGCAGUUCAUUUGAUUUGAAAUUUUGACUUUAAUGUUUGAACCAUUUGGCACAGAUUACAUUGUUACUCAAUUCCUUAUUCUGUAUCUUAAUUUUCCAAGUGUUUUAUUGUUCUUUUCCUCCUGCACACAUUGUGCUUGUGAGACAUUGGCUAGGUUUUACUUGAAAAGAAUCUAAAAUUAGGCAUUUAUUAUGACAUGACAAUAAUGCUAUACGUAGUUCACUUGCUUGAACCCUGACUUCAAGAAAGUUGGAUGGUAAAGAAUACCUAUGUCAGGUAAAGUAAUUCUCUUAAAAGCUUUUUAUUUGAUGUCAAUCAAAAUGGACUGUUAUUUUCAUGAAUUGAUUGAAGCACUUGCAAUGUACUUUAAUUUCUUUUUACUAAGUUUGCAUAUGUUUAAUUUCAUUUUCUAUUGAAUCACAUUAGAUUAGAUAGAUAGGCAAAUCUAAUGUGUCAGUUGGCCUGUGGUGCUUGUUCCCUGUGUUAAAUUCUUUUUCUUUUUCUUUGAGUUCAUUUUUUUAUGUUCAUUUGCUUUUUCUUUCUCACCUGAUCUGAAUGAUUGUGGUUUUGUGUGUUUUAAGUUUUAUGCCAAUUUUGUGUUUCUAAAGUUCAGAAAUUCUUGAUUUAUUGCUAUAUAAAUGUGCCUUGUAGGCUAGCUGUAUUGAGACUAUGGUAGAUGGUGUCCAAUUUGCUUGCAGAUUUUGGUAUUUGGCGUUAGUUUCUUGUGACCCUUUUUUUAAUCUUUUUUCUUACUGAUGUUUGAACCGUGCCUUGAUUUUGUUUUUUCUUUUUUUUAAUCCAGUGAGAUAAGUCUAUGAUCGUCUUAGAGAGUGCUUUUCAAGAGACAUAUUUAAACUUCCUCACUAUAAGUGUUCACUAUGUGCAGGAGAAUAACAGCACAUGUGGGUGUUAUUUACUUAUAAGAUUAAUUACAAAACAUGCUUUUUUUUAAUUACAAGUUGUUCCAGAUUUUCAAACUAAAGUAGCUGCAGUACAACUUUUUCACUUAAUUAGUUCAUGCUCUAAAGUUUUGGUCUUUUACUAACCAAUUUUAGGUUCAAUCUAGAUUACCACUCAACCUAAUUUUUUGGUUUGUUGAAUGCAUGGCCAAGGUAUUUGCUCAUGUAUGCCCAAAAUGCAGGUUUCAUUUUAGCUAAUGAAUCUUUAAUUCACAGGUCUACAAUGUUGCAGGAUUACUGAAAUUUUGUUAUGCUGAUGGUUAUCAUAUACAUAUUAGGAGAUGAACACAAGGACUAUAAUAUAUAGAGGUACACACAGAUCAUUUUCUAUGGUUGAGGUGAUAUAGUGUUGGUUAAAUGCCAUUUGUUAGGUUUAUUUAAAUGCACAUACUAGCAAAGAAUGUUAGGUUCUUCUAUGCCUCAACUCAUGCCUUUAUUUUGAUAUUAAGAAAUUGUUAAUGAAUGUGAAGUUUAAUGAAUCUGAUUCAAUGCCUGUAGUCUACCAAUUUUAUAACAUUAUUUUUGCGUGCAUUGAAGGUGCUCUUAGGUGAUAUCGAUAUUUUCCAUUUUUUUUCUCUGAGUUGGACUUUCAACAUAUAAGACUUAGAGCCAAAGGGGGUUCUACUGUUCCAACUUUGGUUCAUAUCGGUGUAGUUAUGUUUGGUUGAGCAUACACUAUAUUAUUUAAUUGAAGUGAAAUUCUAUUUAAGAAUACUGAUUAUGUAUGUGUAGUUAUGCUUGGUUGAGUAUACACACUAUAAUUCUCCCUAUUAACUUAAAAGUUAAUCUUAACUUAAUAUUCUUCAAUUUUAUUAGUGGUAGGGAUGAAAUGGCCACAUUGCACUGGGUGUUCAUGAUUGUAACUCAAAUUACACUCUCAACAAGGAAAAAACUUGGUUGGGGCUUCAACUAUGAUAUUGAAGGUGUUUAUAUUGAGCAUUACAUGGUCAGGCUUCAUAGAUUCCAAGCUAACUUUUACUUUCUUAAAACCUUGAUUUCAUUUGUUGUGUUUUUGGUUCUUCACUGGUAUAAAUAGGAUGAUAACUAACUGUUCCCUAUUGUAAUUUUAAUAGGAUGGGCUUAUACUUACAUCUAAAAAGGAGAAAGCUCAUCGUGUAGAUUUAUCAUGGGACUUCUUAGGCAUUCAAAACCUUGGCUCAAGUGCAAUUUGGCUCAGUUUGUGUUGCUGAUGGCGACUGACGAGUGAACUCAUAGUUGUUUAUGCUUAAUGAAGUGAAUUUCUGUUGCAUGUAAUUGUUAUAGCAAGUGUCAAAAUAGAAAAAUGUAACAUAAUAGUCUUCUUUUUAGCUACUAAGGCAAACUGUAUAUGCUGCCUGUGUGAAAAGGGUGCAAGUUUUCUCAUACUAUAUGUAUCUAGCUUUCUUUGACAAGUUUGUGAUGAUUUGAGGCCGUAUAUUAGAUUUUGAAAUGCUUGUCAUGUUGUAGAUGUGCAUUAGUAAUUGGCUUGUGUUAUCUAACGAAGUCAAUUUCUUUUUUAUUUUUCAAAUUAUAUACAUAUUACAAAUGCUUUAUGGGCAUUCAUGGUAAAUUGUCACCGCGCAACGCGCGGUCCAUGCCUCCUAGUUAUUAACAUAACACUCUAACAGCCAAAGGAUGUUACUGUUCAUUUGGUUUUUUUCGUCGUCGUCGUCGUCGUCCGCUGUAGCAUCUCAAAUCAUUCAUCCUUUUUUUUUUCCUUUUCUUUUUUUUUUAUUUUAUUAAUUAUUUAUUCCUUUUUUUUUUCUAUUACUACAAGGCCACGCGGCCUACUCCUUCUUUUUCUUUUUUAUUACAAGGCCACGCGGCCUACUUCGUUAGCUGGAUCACUUUUUCGUCUGUCAUUUUUCUGUCCUCUUUUUCCUCUCUUGUGUAUCAUCUUCGCAUCUCAAUGGCCUGCGAAAAACUUUUCCAGCUUGAUUUCCUUAAUGAAGUUUUGUUUCUGCCGCUCAUUACCCUAUGGUUUACUGUUUUCUCGGUUUGCCCGUUUCGCUCUCUUUUGCUUGCUGGAUAUCUCGCUGCUGUUUCUUCUUCAGCUGCCUUUUGUUUUCAUUUUCAGCUGGCGUCUCUCAAAAAACUUCAUCGGAAUACUUUCCCAGACCGCUGUCCUUAACGGAGUUUCUUCUUGCUCAGCCCCGCCAAUCUUCAUCUUCAGGUGACCUGUUAUUAUUAUUUUUUUUACGUCUUUUCUGGUCUCUUUUUUUCCCCUAUGCUUUACCAGUUUCUGUUUUUCCGCGUAUUUUUCCUCCUUCUUCCAUCUGCGUUUUUGGGUCAACUGUUCCUGCUUUUUUCCCUGCUCGAUUUGUCGUUGUUUUUUGAGCUGGCCUCGGGGAAACUUUUCCACCUUCUUUUUUCCCACAGGUGGCCUCAGGAAAACUUCAGGCCACCCUUCGUCGUUUCUGCCCUUGCCGUUCUUCGGGUGCUUUUCUCCCAUUUUUUGGGUUCGUUUCUUCCUUUUCAUUUCAUCUGUGACGGCGGAGAUACUGAUUUUAUUGCAUUCUUCUUUUUUUAUGUUUUAUUGCUGAUUCUGGUUUUUAUGUUGUUCCCUUCCUUUUUUCCCUUUUGAGUCUUUGAUUUUUUUGUUAUGUCAGCCUGUUCUCUUCACUGUUUCCCCGUUUUUCCCCUCGUUCUUUGUUUAUUUCCUCUUUUCCCCUGGGUUUUUCCUUUUUCUUUCUUUUUUCAGAACAAUCACUAUAAUACUAUCACUAUAAGUUCCAAAAACAUUAUUCCAUCAUAAGAAUUGUCUUCUUUAUUAAACUGCUUUUAGUAAUUAUUGCAAUUGUACAAGAGAAUGAACAGAGCUGCGGAUUUGUCAAAGUCUGUGCCUUAACCAGUCACACCUCCCCAACGAUGCUGGAUCACAGCAUAAACCAUAAUAAUGUCUCUCAUUUGUGAAAACUGCAAAAGGGAAGCAAGUUUUUUCUAUGUUUUCUGUUUUGCCUUUCCUUGCAUUGCUGCCUAAUUGUCUGCAUGUGUUGUUUAACUGCAGAUGUAAUGGGGAUCGUUGUUCAUGCUUUCCCUGCACGAGAUGUUUAUAUGGAAGGGACUAUGCGCCAUGGGAGAGACUAUGUCAUAGUUGACCACAGGUUACCGUUUCAUUGUGGUUUACCUUACUUUUGUCCUUCGUUUGAGCCCUUUUUCCCUGUGUUAGAUAAUCCUUUGAUUUGUGACCUUGCUGCAGUAAACUUCCAAUUCUUUUGACUUUGUGGGAGGAUUUUGAAUCUAUCGAGGGCUGUGUUAUUGAUGAAGCAAUGCCUACCAUGCCUAUUAUUAUCGCUAUGAGAGUUAGGGUCUUAACGGAAAAUUGUAUGUCGCUCUUUUUCCUUGUGCAUUAUGUUUUGUUUCCUUGAUGCCUGGUUGGUUUAUUUUUAGUUGCCUCGCUUGUUUUGUUGUACUAGAUAUAUCAUUGUCGACCCAGCCAUCUUCUGUUAUACUUGUUGCUCCUGAUGUUUUGGAGGCACGUGAGCUUGACUGCUGGUUGGUUUUUAUACUUUUGAAUUGCUGUUCAUCAGUGUGUGGCCUUUUUUAUUCUGUUAUGGGCUUACUUUUCUUUGUUGUUUCUUGUAGGUGUGAAAGAAAUGUCUCGGAAUUAGUCCAUAUGAUUUUUGACAAUAAAUCAUACGCUGAUCCGGCUAUUCUUUUACCUCCUGUUCGUGCUCCAACUCUUACUGCAAUCUCCAGCGUUGCAUCCUUCACUCGCUUUGUUAGUGACUUUCUAUUUUUAUACCGCAGCUUUUUCCUUUGCUGUUGUUUUUUCCCUUUUCUGUAGUUGUUUUGCUGAGUAGUUGCUACUCUCUGUUGUUUUGAGGAUCAAGCAACCGUCUGGAUUAAGGGCCGUGUUGAAAUUGCGUGUCCAAUGACUCGCUUUUGGCAUCUCACCUGACCCCACUGUUAUCAGCCAUAUGAUUUUUCCAUUACCUUAGGGAUCUGGUGUCUUUCUUGCGGCCUGGGAAUGUCUAUUUUUCCAAGGUUCAUUCCAUGUUUGGUAUUAGUUAGUUGCUUUGGUUCCAAUUAGUCUUUUUUUCAAAUGGCUUUGUUUUCUCCUGCUGGUUAUUUCCUUUCGCUUGCGUAGGGUAUGGAUUAGAUUUUUUAUUCAUGACGAUACUGGCUAUGUAAGUGUUGUCACUCUGGGUGCUGAAGCUGAAAAGAUAAUUGGACUUAGUGCAUUUCAAUUGUACCAGACUGUUGAUGACGAGGUUGUGUUUUCCUUUCCACUGUUCGGAGCUUUGUUCACUGUAGUUGUGCCUUGCUAUCCGCUAUUUUCUUAUCCCUGUUUUUUUAUCUGUGCAGUUUUUUGGCCUGUAUAGACAAGUUCGCCGUCGCCUAGAACGGAAGAACCUGUUGUGUUAUAUAAAGCAUUCCUCAGAUGUGAUUAGGUCAACGGCCAUCGCCAAGUUCACAGUUGUUACUUGCUAUUUGUGUUAGGAUCAAGGCUGCUCUUCCGAUUGCCAUGUUGCUCUUGGCUAUUGGCCUUCUUGAUCUUUUGAGCCUUUGAGUCUGAUGUUAUGUAUGGACUGUAUUUUGUCUGUUAGGUUACUUUUUUACUUGAUCUGUAAUUCAGUUGCUUGUAAAUAAUGAGGAGCCUUUAUCCUCCCACAUUCAGAGUUUGGUUCCAAUAACCAAUUGUUUAAGGACCUUUGUCAGCAAUGCCUCUGUGUCAGCAAUGCCCAGUUGUGGCUUUUUUCACACGGGAUUUGCGCCUUGGAUGUUUAAGACAUUCCCAGUUCCGGUACUACAUUUGUUUCCCUCCAUCCCAUUUACCUACUGAAAACUUGUGGAGUGAUUAAUUUUGUUUGAGAAGAAGCUCUUUUUUUUAUGCUCGUUUCUUGCUGUGAUUCUAUUUUUUAAGGAUGAAGAAAAGAAAAGCAUGUAGAAAACUUGUCACGGAUUGCAUGUGCAUUGUUUUGGUAUUUUAUGCUUUAUUGAAUUGAUAAAACAGGGGAUGACACUGUAAUUGGGAAUGGUGAGGAUGAUGAUGGAGCAGGGCCAUGUGGUGGAAAGUUCAAGAAGUUAUUAAUUUUCUCUAGGAAUGAUUACCUAGGCUUGAGUUCCCACCCAACUGUUAUCAAGGCCGCAGUAAAGGUAAUUUUUUUUAAUCAAUAUGUUGUUGAGUUAUGGAUUCUCCUGAUAUCAAAUGGAGAAUUUUGGUUAAUAACUUGUGUUGUGUUGUGGUUUCCCCUGACAAAUUAGGCAGCUCAGUUGCAUGGGAUGGGACCUAGAGGUCAAGCAUUAAUUUGUAGUUACACAAAUAACCACAGGUUGCUGGAGUCGGCGUUGGCAGACUUAAAGAAGAAAGAGGUAGUUUCAAAAUUUUCAUUCAGUACCCAGUAAAUGCAGAUUUUUCAAAAGGUUUUAUUGAUAAUAUUUUUAUUUCAGAACUCUAAACAAUCAAGUGAUAAGAAAAGUGGUUUUGACAAUCCAUAUGACAAAAUUUUUAGUUAGGUGUGAUUCAACUAGGUCUUGGUUGCAAUGAAGCUUAAACCCAAUGAAUUGGUUCUUGCCUCCCAUGUCUAUUGCAGCAAUAUAUUCAUUAUAGAUUUCAUUUCUUUAGAAGGCAACAUAUAUCACGUAUAAACAAAUUGGAUGUAACUUCCUAUUUCAUGUACUAUGGUCAAUAGAUGGUCAAACUUUACCUGCUAUGCUUUUGAUCGUAAUGAAGGGUUGAUGCUGCUGGAUUUAGACUGAUGAAUUCUUGCUCUAAUGUCACAUAUUAGGAUUGCCUUCUUUGUCCCGCAGGCUUUGCAGCCAACAUGGCACUUAUCACAGCAGUUGGAAGUGUUGGUUUGCUGUUAGCUGAAGGGGGAAAACCUAAAAGGGAUGCAAGAGUUGCCAUUUUUUCUGAUGCACUCAACCAUGCAUCAAUUAUCAAUGGUAUCCGCCUUGCUGAGAAACAAGGGAGUUUAGUCAACAUUGAGCGUUUGUAUUGGUCUUUAUACUGGUGCCUUCGCUUAACCAUUACGUUUCUUGCAUCGAUGCUGCUGGCUUCUGUAAAUUCAAAAUGCUCUUCCGAAAUACAAAUGUCUCCAUGGUCUUCAACAAGGAGAAAUAUUUGUAUUCAUACCCCAGUCCCGUACAUCCCUUGCUGUUUUAAUUUUCGGAAUCAACGGCAUAGAAAUCAUGUAUCCAUGGCAUCAUACAUUUCACCUUUAAUAUAUUAGUAGCUUUGAUUACCAAAUUAGUAUAUCGCAUCCAUUACCAGAUUAGCUUGUUCCAUUUGUUCAACAGUUUUCGAUUGUUAACCAAUACAUAUACCUCCACUAUUACUUCUGAUCUAAUAUUACUUAUCAAUAAAGCCAACUAUUAUUUACACAAUUUUAAUCUUUCAUGGGCAUUCACGUUUUAUAUUCCACCGCGCGAAGCGCGGUUUACCUCUCCUAGUACCUCUCUAAGUUGGUAACUGUGCCCCAACUGGUCAAAAAAUUAUUCCUUUUUAGGCAUCGAGUUUCGAAAAAAUUUUGUAUUUAUCCUUGCUAACUUGUAGAAAUUCAAUAUACGUAUAUGCAUUCGUAUACUAGCAAUAAUAUCCAUUGCAUUUUUGAAAGUUGUUAAGGAGCAACUUCAGAUCAAUUCAGAUACGAUUAGUGCAACUGCAAGGGGAGCCCAUCUCCAUCUCUCAUGCAGGGAUCUUCCUCAAUUUUCCUCUCAAAUUUUUACGGCAGCUGAAGGAGAAACAAAUCCCACCUCCAGAGCUAGCAAGGAUUUCUUUCUUGAAAUUUACUUCCUUUUUUUUUUUUUUUUGUCUUUUUUGGCUGGGAUCGUGAAGAAGAGAAAUGCGAUAUUCAACUAUCCAACAAACAAACGGAGCAAGAAAGAAAAAAUCAACAAAGUAGUCGAGGCAAUGUUGUGAACUUGUAAUCAUACUCAAGGAGUACCCGUUUGGCAUUGUCCAUUAAGAAAGGCUCCCUGAUCAAGUGCCUCAAGGGCAAUGUUUUUUGUUUUGAAAGAUUUAUUCCUUUUUAUUAUAUAAGACCCUUUUGCAUGUUGGCCUAGUUACCUUGGUUAAAGACAGAAAAAAGAAAAGAAGGGGCCAAAAAAAAAAGAAAAAAAAUUUAAGAAGACAGGUUUCGAGAACAGAAGGGGCCAAAAAGCAAUUUUGUGUUGGAAUCAUCAUAAAGCCAUCUCGAUUAAGUAAAGAAAUUUUUGUUGUUUAUGGACUCAUUCACACUCGUAUUCAAUCAAGAACCUUGCACCUAGACUUGCUUUUAGUUUUAAAAAGAUUUAUUCCUUUUCAUUAGGUACCUGUGGAUUCGACCCUACUCACCGCUAUAUACAAAAUCUGUAUUUUUCUCGAGUAGGUAUUUAUUAUUGCACAGGUUCGGCACCUGUCAAUUUUUGGCGCCGUUGCCGGGGACUGGUGUCAGAUUAAUUUGUUUCUUUUUUUCAUUUUGUUUUUGUUUUUAUUUUUAUUUUUAUAUUAUUUUUCUCAUAUUUUUUUUAUAUAGUUUAUGGCUUCUAACACUCCAUAUUUUGGUAAUAGUCUGGAUCUUGUUUGCGGGGAAGGCGAUGAGACUAGUUUUUUUGCUAAGUUUGCAUAUUCAGAGGCACUAAACUCUAUUAGAGAAAGAAUGGCUGCUGCAACCCGUAAAAUUUGUUAUGCCAGGGAUCAUUCAACCGGUAUGUGCCCCGAAUAUCAAGAUAAUCUGAGUGUCCCCCUCAAUAAUUAUGGAGAUUUUUCACCCUGGUCUCAAACGUGGUAUAACCCUAAUCCAAACGGGUAUGAUCAAGAAUGGUGGGAUAACUCCGAUUAUAAUUAUACAACGGGGCCAAUGAAUUUUCAGCAGUACGAGUCUCAAGAAUCGUCAUCUAUGUCAGGUAUGUCUCUUGAAGAAAUAGUUGAAUCAAUAGCUAUUAAUACAUAUCAAUUCCAACAGGAGACACAAAGGAGAAAUGAGAUGAUGAAGGAGGCAAUGAGUAAUCUGGAAGAUCAAAUGUGUCUAUUGACAUCCAGAAUAAAUCGACUGGCUUCUCAAUUUGAAGAAUUGCCCUCGAAAACCAUUGUUGAAAAUGAGAGUGCAAUUUGCCUGACUAGUGAUGAAGAACUGCAAGAUUUUCAAGAAGAGAGAUGUACAGAUGCAGUUGAAAAAGAACCCGAAAAGGAAGAAAUUGAACCCCAACUGCAACCCAUUCAAGUGAAAGAAUCCAGUGAAGAAUCAGCAAAUGUGGUGACACCACCUCCAUUCCCUAACCUGCAUUUUCUUAACUCUUACUCUAUGAUUUCUGUUAAUGAGAUUGAUUUUGUUAUACCGGAAGUUCUUGAGUCUCAUGGCAGGAAUGAAUUAAGAGUAGCUAUGGUCAAAUAUCUUGAACCGUUGAAUGCUCUUGACGGAGGAGUGGAUGAAGAAUUGCGAUCAAUGCUUGAUUAUUUGGCGCCCUCAACUAGUCCAUGGAAGACCGUAACUCGUGUGCUCAAAGAUUACUCUAUCUAUGAGGGUUACCAGGAUCACAUUGAAGAUGAAGCAUUGAAGCGAGCCACAAGAUUUUAUCCUCCAUGAACAAGCAUAGCAUGUCUAGCCAAAGACAUUAAAGAAAGGCGCUUUUUGGGAGGCAACCCGAAUAUUGAUUUUAUUGGUUUUAGUUGUUUAUUUCUUUCGUUUUGUCGUUUCUCCAUUGGGUAGUAUCAAGGCUAAUAUCUCCUCCACUGUGACCAGGAAGUGAAAUCUUGGCGUGCCCGCGCGGUGUUUGUGUUUUCUGAGACCAGAGGACGAAGACCAAUCUUGGCGUGCCCGCGCGGUGUUUGACGACCCAAAAAUGAAUUCAAAAAAAAAAAAAAAUUUUUAAAUUUUAUUAUUACAAAAAAAAAAAAAAAAAAUUUCAGCAAUUUCCAAUUGGGACGAUUUACAUUAAGCGUAAGUUUUAUUAAAAAAAAAAAAAAAAAACAAUUUCCCUUUUCUCUUUUCUUUUUUCUUCUUUUUCCUCUUUUCUUUUUCUUUUUCUUUUCUUUCUUUCCUUUCUUUCCCUUUUCUUCUUCUUCUUCCCCGCUGCCUGGUUUUUUUUUCUUUUUCCUUCUUUUCUUCUUCAGCCGAUGCUCCUCCAUCGCGCGUCGCCGCCUCCCUCGCUCACCUCCAAAUCGCCGCGCCUCUCUCUUCCCACCGCGACAGCCGCACGCCACCAGCUCCACCUCACUCACCCUCGCCCGCCUCCAGCGUCAUCCGCAACCAGAGCCGCCGCUGGCCCCAAGCUCCACGACCACCACCACCUCGCGAGCUGCAGCCACGCAGCCGCCUGCCAUCGCCUCCUCCUAAGCCGCGCCCAUCCACCAGUCGCAACCCUUUGAGAUCAGCCCACGACGCGCGCCCGCAGCACAGCAGCUCCACCUGGGCGACCUUCUCUCUCGCCCAUCCUCAGCUCAGCCCACGCAGCCCGCGCGCCGCCGCUCCACCAGCAGCUUGCGGCCAAGGCGCGCCGCUCGUCAACCCCGCCUUCCAGACCAACAACCCCAGCGCACGCCCUCGCGCGAUACCAGCUGCAAGACGCCGCCGGCCCACGCUGCCGCUCCGUCGCACGUGGCCUUCUCCCUGAAGAUCUCUACUUCCUCCUGAGCUCGUGCGCUACCACCAACCCUGCAGCCCUCCAUCCGACGCCACUAGCCGCCGCUAGCCCUCUCUGUUCCAUUGCCGACUUCCACUGGCUGCCGCCCGUGAGCCCAGCCCAAGCUGCUCACGAGCUCGGCCCUCGCUGCACGCGGUCCCUCUCUGCCAAGCUCCACUUCGACCAGCAGUCCGGCCAAGCCGCGCCUCUCUUCACUUUCACCCUGUGCGCCGCUGCUUGUCGCGAGCUCAUCACCAGCCCUCCAUCAGGUCGCACGCCACCAGGAACCUAACAGUCCCCACGCCGUCACCACCUGUCGGUUUCUGACAGGUGGAGGUAUCGUGACUUCUUCCCCUAAUUAGUCUCCAUCUCUGAAAUUUGUGGUUGGAUUUCUUGUUAGAUACAGGAGGGUGGUACUUGGGCAUUUUCUAGGAUAAAUUUUGGACAGAUUUGGGGGUAAUGGCUGCCAUAUGUGGGAAAAUUCUCUGAUAUUUAUUGAAUUGCUGGCCAUUUGCUUUAAUUUUUUUUCCCUGUGACUCACCAGUGGUACUGGUUGAGCACUUUAGCCUAUCAUUGUUGCUGUUUUUGGAGACACUUGCUUAUUUUCAAGUUUCAGUUUUGGUGGAUUGAGUUGCUACCGUUGAAUUUAAUUCUUUCCUGUCUGUGCACCAGUGGUACUGGUGGGAGUGUUUUGAUUACAUUCGUUGAUUUUUUUAUGGUCGCCUGACUGUUUGCGAGCUACUAACGUUGUACUUCAGUUGUGGUCGCACUUUGACCUGUGGUUGCUGAUAUUGCCAAUUGCUUGGCUAAAUUGCAAAUUUGGUUAAUUGUAUUGGGUAAUUGACUGUCCAGUUGGAAGCAGUUGUUACUACUUUGGGGUCCAAGUGUGUCUCAUUUGCUGAAAUUUGUGUCCAAUUGUGGGUGAAUUGCUGCUAUUGCUUAUUGGGGGCGCCCGUGACGCUUCUUUUUGCUUAUUGAUAUUGGUUGCAUGUUCUAAGCGGUUCUCGUGACUGAUUGCUUGUUUUUGGACGGCUACUGUGCUCCUCCUUUGUUUAUUGCUUAUUAGUUGUGUCUUAUUGACUUGCUUGGGGUCUUUGGAGCAGUUGUUGCACUUUGGACGGCCUUAAUUCUGAAUUUGACUACAUGGGGUCCAUGAGUACUUAUUGAUUGCAUUUGCUAUAAGUGUUGGGGUCUGGUUUAAUCUAUAGGAGGUUGAAUUGUGCAUUUUGCUCAUUGGGAUGGCUUUAAAAAUUGUUAUUGCUUUGAAUUUGACUACAUGGUGAAGCCACGAAUGGCACCAGCUCCAGAUGCGAGUCGAGAGACUAGAGACUCGGAUGACCCACAUUGACGUCACCAUGCAAGUCUUGAUCCCCAAUUUCCACCUGAACUGCCCCUGUUUUGAUGACUUCAGGGAAGUACCGUUGCCCCUCUCCUUCCUUCUACUUUUACAUUAUCACAUUGAGGGCAAUGUGUGAAUUAGGUGUGGGGGGGAAUCAUUGUGGUGCUAGAAAUUUUGUUUUUAGUUUCUAGAGUUUUUUGUUUUUCUUUAUUUUUUUUUUGUUUGUUUUUUGUCCAUCUUUCGUUUAUUUUCUUUUCUUUUCUUUUUUUCUAGUGGUCAGUCUUCAUAUGAAUACCAAGUUUUGAUGUUGGAUUGUUGUCUCUGAUUCUGAUGUUGCCAAGUUUAUUAAUAAAAGGUAUCGAGUUGAUGUGGUUGAGUUCAGGAACAUCUUUCUGGUGAAUAUCAAUAAUUGCUUGACUUUUCUAAUUUUUAGUUAACUUUUCUAGGCAUAGGGAAUGAUUGUUGGCAUUUUUCUCGUGAAUUGGUCCAAUUAUUAAUUUUAGUUCUCCAUGUUUGGAAAUUUGAGGCUGGCUGCUGUUAUUUUUGUGUUAUUUUUAGUUAUUGUGCUAUAUGGUUAUAAAUAAGAGCUGACUGUACUCCGCUAGUGAUUACUACUGAGUAACCGGGAAUCUUCACCUAAAGUGUUGAUUUUCGCGACAAAAGGUAGUAGUUGCUAUGAGUGCGCGGUCCCGUAGCAAUUAGAGCUGAGUAACCGGGCUCUUCCAUCUGUCAAAUGUUGGAGUUCGCGUCAAAAAGCUCUAAGGGCUAUAGACUAAGUCUUUUGUUAUUGGUAAAAAAUAAAAAAAAAUAAAAAAAUAAAAAAAUAAAAAAAGAUUGUGUUAGUAUGUGAACAAGUCAGCUUGCCGGUUUGUGAUCUUAGUGUCGAGAUUUUGGUUAAUAGCUGGACCAUUUACUGAUAAAUGUGAGCAACCAUUCCUUUUUCUUAGAUUAGUUUGCUUUAAAUUGGAAAAGUUGGUGGUUGGGAAGCUAACUGGGGGGAUGCUUCUUGGAUUUUAAUUACUAAUGCCCGAUAUAUGGUUCUCUCUUGAAUAUCUUGGCAAUUUGGUAGAUAGAGCAAUGACCAUUAUCAAAUUUUGGUGUCUGUAUACUUUCCCCAUGCUUGAGGGCAAGCAUGAUUCAGGUGUGGGGGGAAUUGAUAGAGUAUAAUUUGUUAGUAAAUUUAUUAUUGAUUUCCCCUUCUAUCCCUGACAAAUAUUGUGUUAAUUGCUGAUAUUUACUCAUAUUUGGUAUUUGGAAUCAAUUUCAGGAGUGAAGCAGAAAAUUACCAAAAAUGAGGGACUUGUAUGGAAAAAUGCAGACUUCUAAGGGCUUCAACCUUUAGGUCCUUGAAUUGGUGGGGACCACAAGCUAGUGCAAGGCAUUUAGUCAUUUGGGCUUUUCAAAGAAAGCAACGUAGAGAGACUUGGAACAACAAGUACUUUGGAGGUUUUGUCCACAUGUGCGGGGACCACGGAUAAGAAGCAUGAGUCAUUUGGACUCUAGGAAAAGAAACGUACAAGACUUUGAAUUUGGUGUGGGGAUCACUAGAGAUAGCAUUAGACUUCCUUUUGGCUUUAAAAAUGGAGAAACGUACGGGAGAUCAAUCAAUCAAUAGUGAAUCAAUAGUUUUAGUUUAGGCUUUUAGCAUAGUUUUAGUUUUCUUUUCUUAGCUCUUUCGCAUGGUUGUUCUCCAUUAAUGGAGGACUAACCUCUUAAUUCUAGUCAAGGGGACAACUGAAGACUUGGUUCAACAAUUACUGUGAGAUCGAAUUUAUUUUAAUUGUUUCCUCCAUUUAUUGGUAUUCAUAUAUUUCCUGCUUUUAACUGUUAUAGCUCUUGUGUAUGAUUGAUUAGUGUGCAAUAAUUAAUUAUUCAUAUAGACUAUUUUGCUAAAUAGAGGUAAUUGAAUCCGUAAUUGUUCGUUAUGUCUAUCUUAGUAGCAACUGGCGUAAUUGGAUUUAUGUCAGGGGAGCAUACGAUCUAGUUUAAACAAACCCUCGUAGCGUGUUUGUUAGUUAGGAUUGGACCUUUCUAAUUAUUAAUGCAAUCUAGAAAUUAAAUCCUACGGUCGUACCUAGGGUUGUUUUUGGGUUAGAGAAAUAGUUAACGGUCGUACCUUAACUAUCGAGAAAUUAAGGAAAAGUUGGUUGUUUAUCGCGUGCAUGACAACUAUAACUAAUCUAUUAAUAAAUGCGGAAUUAUCUGUGAAUCAAUGAUCAGUGCCUGAACCAUUUCUGAAGUGUACCCUUGGCUAGAGUUUUCCCUUAAUUAUUUCUCUUAAUCAAUUAUUUCCUGCAGUUAAUUUAUUUAGUUAGUAUUUAAUCCAAAAACCCCCCAUACUUUGGACUCUAGAAGAAACGAAUUAUCCCCAGUCCCUGUGGAUUCGACUCUACUCACCGCUAUAUACAAAAUCUGUAUUUUUCUCGAAUAGGUAUUUAUUAUUGUACAGGUUCGGCACCUGUCAGCAAAUGAGAGAUUGAUCCCUAUAUUUAUGCACAGAGGUUGAAGUAAGUAAAUCAGGGAAAGAAGUGGGAAAGCCUCCUAAAGCAACUUCCACGAAUUUGGGGUUGGCAUCCUCCCGGAUUUUUCCCCAAAAAAAAAAACAGAGAAAAACCAUGAGUUGACUGAGAAUUAGUGGUAGUCGUCUCAAGAGUCAGAACCGAAAUGCACGCUAAUAGCCUAAUACAAGCAUGUAGUGUUACCGGGCUACUGGAAAUCAAUUCAACUCUAAACAUAAGUCUUUCUUCCACAUUCAGGGGGUCCAUGUGGAGAAUUCGAUAGAUUGAUGAAAACCGGAUACUAUUCUGGUCAAGCAUGGCUAGUGGACUGUCCCUUUUCUUGGUCUUUAAUUCAAGCUUUAGCAUUUAAGGGGCAAUGUUUUAGGUGGGAGAAGAUUUCAUUCAUAAUGUGUAACCGAUUUCUGGCCGUGUAAUUUUAACUUGCUCCAUUUUUCAUAUGUGACCAACUAUACUCAGGUUUUUGGGACCUGAAGAAUUUUUAAACCAAUUGAUAUAUGUCGCAGGAAUAUUUUCAUAUUCGCUCGUGGUUAAAUUUAAUAAUAUUGUACAAAGCUAAUUGAUAAGGCUUUUAUAAUAUUGUAUUUAUCUCUUAGAUAGAGCUACAAACAAAUCUCAUAAGCCAGUUUAUCAGUAACUAAUUGAAUCAAUAUUGGCUGAGUUCAGGCAGUUUAAUUAAAGUAUUAAUUAGUUUGAUUAAGAAGAUGCUUCGAAACUUCAUGAUAUGUAGACAUACUUUUUAACGGUAGCAUUGAUAAUCUAUUUUAAACCCCCUUCAAAAAAAUUAUAAUUAAUAUCUAGUUACAUAUGUGCUCGAUUAAUUAUACUUGAACUCAAGUUUUAUUGGGUUCAAUUUUUUGUCAACCUCUACUUCUAUGAAAUCAAGUCUUGUCUUGAGAUGACAAUGGGGGCAAUGCUUGUGAAGGGAGGUAUGAGGUACGGCCAUAAAUGGGGCCUCGUCCUCCGUAUUUAUUAAACAUUACUAUUAGUAGUAGUGGUGGUAAUAUUAGUUUUUUUUUUCGUGUUAUGUUGGGUUAAAUUAUUAGUAGUAGAAAUAAUAUUAGUUUUUCUAAUAAUAGUACUAUUAGUAGUAGUAGUGGUGAUAAUAUUAGUCUUUUCUAAUAAUAAAGAGACUAAUAUAAUUAAAUCUCUUCUCUAGUUCUCUUCAUUCCCUACCUUUCUUGUCGAAUUAUUUCCUGUAGUUCUGAUGCUUUAAUGUGGAGGUUCUGACUCAUCCCAUUGGUAUACUCACAAAUGUUUUCACACAUUUUCAAAAUGAAUUCAAGCCAAAAAAAAAAAAAAGAAGGUGCUAAGAAGGAAAAAAAGGAUGCCCCCGUAGAGGGAGCAAGGCGAGGUAGGGGGAGCAGGGCCGGGAAUGGAGCGGGAGCAGGGGGAGUUAUAUGACAACAGGAUCCUCUGUUACUCUGUUGUCAUUCCUACUCGUCGAGUUUCAACUCGUGCUUUACAUUAGAUGUGCAAAGCUAAACAAAUUUCACUGUAGAUUUGUCUACAUUUUUCACUUUACAUAAAAUUACAUAAGGUUAUGUGGAUGUUUUAAAACUAUGGGUUCAUAUCAUAUUAUUAAAAAAAUAUAAGGGAGUUAUGAGUAAUUUACUCUAAAAUCUAUUCUACCCAAUAACUAUAGGAUUAUCACCUUCCAAGGUGAUAGACAAGUAAUUGUAAUCAAGCUUAGGACAGAUGGAACAAGUUACUGGAUCUCAACAAGCAUUGCUAAAAAUUUUGCAUGGGAUUGAAAUUCUUUUUUUUUUUAGUUUCUAAAAAUAUAGUGCAAAAUAGUACUAUAAAGUAUCCAAAUCAUUCUGUAAGCUCCAAAUACACUCGAGGUGAUCCUUAUGAAAUAAAGCCACUGCUAAUUUAAUUUGUGAAUUAGAAAAAAAAAAAUUUACGCAAACUUUUCUAAUUAUAUAUUGCAUGAGGCAUCGUGUUGACCUCAAAUCGUAAUUAAGUGCCAAUGAAGCUUUUAUAUUUGAAUUCAGUUUCUUAAGCAAAAUAUUGAAUAGCAUAUUUAUUUGUGAAUAUAGUGACAACAAAAGCAUAUUGCACGCUAUUAUUACAUUGAAUUAUUGAAUUCGGCGUGCAAAAUAUAUAAAACUCUCCACCGCUAAAAUUUUCAACUUAGAUAAACCAGUAAUGUAUAGCACAGUAAUUGCACACAGGGAAUAAUUACAAUCUUUUAAUACACCCUAAAAUGAGAAUUUAAAUUCUCUAUUGUAUUUAAACUAAUGCAAGGUAGCGAUUGUAGCUAGGGUUCAUCAUAUUUACCAUCAUCGUAGCCUCUAUCGAUUUCUUCAACCCUGGUAUGCAUCUGCUGAGGGCCUUAGCAGUUUCUUUGUUGAAAUGACAUGCACAAGUUUUGAGCUCGGCCAUGAAAGGGCUAGUUUCACCAACAAUGUUGGAGAUAAUAAGGUGAGGAAGAUGAGACACGAAUGAGAUAUACAUACAUUUGAUCCAAGUCCAAAAUUUGAAGGAAUUUUUGUAGGCCUUGUUGCAUCGUCCCAAAUGGAAUUGGCAGCCAAAGUUCUAGCAAAUUUUGGCACAUUUUGUCAUGAACCACGGUGCGAUUAAUGGCAAUUGUAUUGUUGGCUUCAUCUUUGAUUACCUUAAAAAUAUCAUACACGGGCUAGAUUAAAUGCUAACCUCUUGACUGCUUAAAUUAGAUGACUAUCCACGACCUAGAAUUCCGUAGCCAAAAUCAACUUUGGUUAAAUACAUAGCGACCUAAAUAUAUGCAACACCUAAAAAUGAGAUGAAUUUGAGCUCCCCCACCUAAAAAUGAAUUUAAAACUUAUUUUUAAAAAUCAAUCCCGUUCAUAAUAUAUUUCAUUACUUGUAUUAAUUGUACAUAAAACUUCAUAUGAAAUUAACUAAGUUUUGCCCUUGGAUUAAUCAUUACAAAUUUUGUUAUAAUUUUAACUCAUUUUUCACCAUUCAUAAGUUUUGUGCAAGUUGAAUGCUAAAGUAUUUGUAAAAGAGGAUCAUUUUUAAUAUGUUGAUAUAGAUAUAAAAAAUGGAUGACAUAAUCGGAUGAAUUUAUUGAAUUAUAAAAUUUUAGACAUAAACAAAUGAAGAGAACAAUAGAGAGAAAUCGGAUGGAGAGAAUCCUAACUCCCCACCUAAAUGGCUACCAAAGCAUUUUAUGAAUGGCUCCUAUUUUUAUCUCUUAGAUCUUUAACUUUACCAUUUUAUACUACUCUACGGAAGCUUUGUCACUCCAUUGGAAUCCCAAAUUUACCUUAAUCCUAAUUGCAAUUGACUCAAGUGGAGGCCAUCUCCAUCUCUUUUGUAGGGAUCUUCCUCAAUUUCACUCUCUUAAUUUAGUGCAGCUAAAGAAGAACCAAACCUCAUCUUGUAGGGAGGUAGCAAGUAUUCAGUUAUUCAACGCACAAACAGAGUAAGGUGCAAGACACGUUGACAAUUUGUUUGGAUAGUCAAUUUGUUUGGUGAUCCUUGUAGAAUAAUGCUACUAUAAAUUCAUGGCACAUGAAGAGUACUGCACAAAAAGUCCUAUUAGUUUCCAAAUUGACCUCAACUUGAUAAGUGACAAUGAAAUUUUUACCUUUCAGUUCGGUUUUUAAAGCAGAAUACUGAGUAGCAUAUAUAGUUAAUUGGGAUUAUGAUGACAAGCAAGCAGAACAUAGAUGCUAUGUUUUCUGCUGCAAGAUGUAGAGGAAAUAAAAUCUGCUAUUAAACUGAAAGAUUAUAUAUAUAUUUUAGAAAAAAUUAUUUUGGAUUCUGAACUUCCAAUUUAUUGACUUUGAUAAGUACAUUAUCAAUACCCUCCAGCACUAAAAGUAUCAACUUAGUUGAAUCGUCAAUCAACUUAGUUGAAUAAUUGCACGGUUGGAAUACUACCAUCUAUUAGUAUAGCUUGAGAAGCAGAGGCUUUUAAAAUUAUUCAAAUCUCUCUUUUUUUUUCAUUUGAUUCUAUGUUAAUUAGCCCAAAAUUCACUGUAUUAGUUGUCUAGGUUCACUAUUGUCAUAGCCUAUAAAUAAGUAUAGGCAUCGACCUACUCUACAAUUGUGAAGUUUAUACAAUUUGGAUAUUUUAUAGUGUGGAAUUCAAAAAUAGAAGAUUAAAUAUCCAUACAAUCAUAUGACCUUUGAAGCUCUUUGGAGAAUUAAUUAUUUUUACUAACGUCCUUUCCAGCAAAUAGCUCAAGCAGCAGGAAAUCAAGUUGCAGACAUCUUUCUUAAAGGAACCUAAGUCCAUACUUCAUUCUUUGCCAAAAUUCUUUAACUUGAAGAAGUAAAAUAUGAUUCUGAAAAUUUAGCAAAUUUCAAAGUUGGAUAUCCUGGAUUCAAAAUUAAGAUUGAGCAUUCAUCUUCAACCAAUUCUACGACGGAGUACUACUCUAUCCUGAUCAAGCCACGCAAUGCCUUUUGCGAUCCCAAUUGCAACUUUUAUCUUAAACCUGUUUUGAGCAGAAAAGAGAAGAUCAUAUAGGUUUCAUUUUGACAUGAAUUUGUAGAUCAAAAGUAUGUUGUUAAUUCCCAAAUUGGGCUGUCUUAUUCUUCCAAGAAUCGUGAGUACAAAUAGAAAUUGUUAAUCAAUUCUGUCAAAAUGAUGGAAUUUCUACCUCAAAUAGAAAAAAAAAUGAAAAAAGAUAACAGAGUUUCUUGAGAGCAAAAGGCCAACCAUUUGCGUAGUAUCUUCGUACACUGUCCCAAUUCAGCAAAUUCACACAUGUUUGAAAGAAAUAACACACAACCAUUACUAAAUCCUGCAAAACGAAAUUACACAAAAUACGCCAACAGCAAAUUAUCUGCAUCGCCUUUAUGGCCUCAUUCAUUGUUUCCACCAUAUCUUGACAAGAAAAGAGCCUACUGUUACCUCAAAUCUUCUACAAAAGCACCAAAGAAAGCCAGACCACACAGAUGAACACUACCGUAGCACUCCCUGAUGAUAUCAUUAAGAAAAAAAUAGAGCAAUAAUUAGUUGUUUGCUCAUCAAUUUCAUGCCUGCAUUACCAAAAAAACUACCAAAAGCUAAAUAUAGAUUAUUUCUGCAAGCCAAUUAAUGGUAAUGACAAAAAAAAUUACCUGAUAUUGUACCCGCUGAUGCCCUUCAAUAUUUUCCAUAAAUGAUCUUCAGAUUCUCAUUUCCAUAAUUUUUCUGUUCUUCUGCAAUUUCCCAUACUAAAGAUUCGACGCCAUCUCCACAAACAUUCAUCUUAAUGGUUUCAAGAGUUGGUAUACGCCCUAAACAAGAAGGCAUCAUUUCCAAAUUAUAAGUCCUGUCGAGUUUUAAUUGCUGAAGACACGGGAAGUAAUCAUCACUGUCAGGGUCUACCUCUGUCCACUCCACAACCUCUACAUCUUCCAACGUCAAGACCCUGAGUUUAGGGAAUCCUCCUUCCAUCAACUCCCAUUUUUGGCCGUCCAUUGACCGCUGUCUUAAUUUGAGGACUUCAAGAUUGGGUAAUUGUUCAAUCAAUGACAUUUUUCGACAGGAUAGACCCAGGUUGGAAAGACACAACUUUUUCAAAUUCCUGGGAAAAGAAAGCCCAACAUGUUCCCGUGAACCUGAGAAGUUGUAGCCCCCUAAGGUGAGUGAUUCUAGGCAUUCUAGUCGACUCAUGUCGCAGCACACUCUUCUUUUUCCCCAACAACUGAAAAUUUUAAGUUGGCGAAUAUUGGGAAUCCUUCUCAAUAUGUUCUCUUCCCCUCGACGAAAAAGACACAGAGUAGAGAGUGUGUCUAAAUUGUGUAGGGUGCAGAGAAUUUCAACAACGUUUUCAUUGGAAGGAAGACAAACACGCCUUACAUGUACAUGCCUCAACUUCUUCAUGUUCCAGAUACUGUCCGGCAAUGAAAUCUUCUCACCAGAUUUUAGACGAAAGGUUUCCAAAUGUGAGAGAUUGGCUAUAGAUGGGGGAAUGAAUUUCAUUUUCCAAGCUGUAAGGGCUAAGUACCUCAAACAAAGAAGUGAUUCGACUUCAGUUGGGAGCUCCUUCAGCCUUAGGUUAAUGCCCUCUAAAUUCAGAACUUUAAGAUGUUUGUAGAUGCAAAAAAGGAAGGAGAUAUUAAGCAACUUAAACUUAUUACGUCCUGGAGUAGCAUCAAAGAAUACCAGAGUACCUAAAUAUGGACAAAAUAGCUUUGACUUUAUAAAAUCCUCUUCACUGGAGCAAAUGGACAACCGAGGUAGGUUGGGAGGUUCAUUAAAGGUAGAAAGCUCAUCAUAUCCUCGCAGGACCUGAAGAAAUUUCUUUUCUUUCGCCUCACCCUUACAGAACUCAAAUAUCAAAUCGUGAAUGUAACAAGUUU